GAGGUUAUCGAUCGUUAAUGAGAGGCAGCUACUUACUAAGUUCCAACAAUUCUGCUCGUGUUCGCUUCAUUCACAUCUUUCCUGAAAAGUUUAGCCAUGCCAAAAUCUGAUAUCUUUGGAUUCAUUUCAUCGUCUAGUAAAAUGUUGCUAGAUUUCAAAUCUCGAUGAAUUAUUGUAAAAUUUGAGUACUCUUGGAGGUAUAGAAGCCCUUGAGUAACCCCUUCAAUGAUACGAACCCGCUUACUCCAAUCCAAGCUAUAACUUCUAAUUGGAUCUGCAUAAAAUGGCACAGGAGAAACUUUUAGUUGCUACUUAUCUUAAGAAUGACAUUAAUUUGGCAUCCGUUGAGACCUCCCAAUACAGAUGACUAGAAUGAUCUGAGCUUUUGGAGAAAAAAACUGCUUGUUAAUAAAAUGUGUGCUUAUUAGCUGCAAUGACUAAGCAGAAAAAGAUUGCAGACCAAAGAGGUAGAGAUCCAAGCUUUUAUUUGGCAUGUACUCGUAUAUUAGCAUCUUCUCUCCCCUCUCGGAGCAAAAUCCCAGAAGCCUAACUAGAUUUACAUGUUGAAGUCUAGCCGUGAGCGAAACCUCGUUCUUGAACUCUUCAAGUCCUUGAGUUGAUGAUGCUGACAGCCUCUUCACUGCUAUUUCCAGGCCUCUUGGUAAUUUACCCUGGUACAUUUUGACACUUGAUGUUAGCAUUAUUUCCUGUAAACAAACCUGAAAAUCUGAACAUGAAUCGUUCCAAACAUGAGACUUGCAGUCAGGAAUACAGAGGGUUAACUUAACCAUACAAUACCUUAUAAACAGGGCCAAACCCACCCUCUCCAAGCUGGUUUUCUCUUGAAAAGUCAUUUGUAGCUGCUUUAAUGCUUUCAAAACUGAACACUUGCGGGAUAGGAGCAUCACCAUCAAAAUUUUCUGCAGCGGCUGAUAAACUAGUUCCUCUACCAGAGAAACUUCUAUCACCUAAGACUCUGGUUCCUGUAGCUGAAAAUAGAAGAAGGAAGCAACCCAAAAAUGUUUAUCUGUUUGUCAUUCCACUAUUGAAGGUAAAUGGCGGACCCUCUCAAUUGAUUAAAGUUUACCUUCUCGCCCAAAAAGUCUCCUUCUGUAGUAAAACAUCAAUGAGGCUGAUAAGAUACUGAUGAAAGCAAUUGGAAGCACAAUUUUUAGCCACAACCAGCUCCUUUUUCCCUGGCGUACCUCAUCUUGUGCUGUUAAUGCAGGUCACUAAAUUAAUCUCUCAUCAAAUCGAAUACAUAGUUUUUCAUCUACUCUUGCUCAAAUUCUGUGUGGUUGCGUAUAAGGAAGGCUAAAGAAUUGACUUUUUUUACUAGUGAUGAUGUCAAACAGGCACAGGAGAAACCAAAGCAUAAACAAAAGCCUAGUUGGUAUCUACAUACAGACUUAACAGUUGAAGAUGCUAAACACACAGUGCAAGCUUAGGAUUAGACUUCCACCAAGAUUGACAGCAGAUGUGGUAUUCUGUCUGACGCAGAGUAUUGUCAAAGCUACCAGAGUUUUCAAUUUUCCUGACUAAUUUACAAUCUAAUAAAAAAUCAUUACCAACCUGCCAGAGAAAGAGCCCAGUUGUCAUCAUGGAUCACUUGAAACACGUUGUAACCAAGUAGCCCCUUCUCCUUCGCAUAAGAAAUCUUAGCUCUAACGGUCUCCACAUCAUCAAAAUUGAUCCAAGUUGAUCCAGCAACGAAAUAAUUCACUACAUAAGUAGAAUUAUAAACUGACCUAGCUCCAUAACCAUAAUUUUGAAUGAAUGAUCUGACGAACCUAUAGCCUAUCGAACCAUCAAUGGUAACACCAGGACCUGAGGCUGGUGCGCCAAGAGAACUGUCAGAGGGAUCCACCAGUGUCCAGGCAUAUCCAUGGUACGGCAUACCCAGAAGUAGUUUGUUUGCUGGAUAUCCUCCACUUAACCAUUGUCUAAUGCCAAAAUCGGUAGAAAUAUUGCUUGACGGGUUAUAUAAAGCAGCAUGGUUGCCUGUAAAGUUCUCCCUUGAAGGCAUGUGAUAGUCAUAUGCUACAACAUGUGCCCAAUCUAAAUUCCUCUUCAUUGAAUUAAUCGGAUAACUUACACUUUGAAGACUUGGUGAGUAGCGAACGCCCAUUGUUAGAAUUAACUUCGACACGCUUGAGUUUCUUGGCUCGGAAUCGACAGUAGCCCUCCACUCAUCCAACAGAGUUCCUAUAUUUGACAAAUCUGUGCUAUUAGGCCAAAGCCAGAACAAGUCUAUUCCUUGAAACCCAAGAGUCCUAGCUGUUUUUACCGAAGAUUCAAUAAAAGACUUCCUGUAGGAAGAUUGCGUCAGCAUUGAAGACAAGACGGAACUGUUAACCGCCUCACCUAAAAUGGACUUGUAUGUCUCAGGUUGCCCAUUCCAUAUUGACAGAAGCGUUACAAUUGAAGGGUUCUUGCGCUUGACGAUGCCGGUGAAGUUCGAGAAGUUCUGUUGAAAGUCAGAUGGGACGGAGAGCUCAUAGGUGGUUGAGUUGACAUUGGCAAAUGCACAAAUAAGGUGUGUAAACAGGGCAGAGUUUAUGUCAGGUAUUGGGAAGUCACUACCACCGUACCAGUAACCAGCUUUAAUCCAUUUUUGUGCAACUGAACAACGAUUUUGGGAAGAUAGGAAGGCGACCGAGAAGAAAAGGAUAAUGGUAUUUCUGAUCGCCAUGAGACAGGGGAAGCUGAUGCAUAGUGUAGCGCGUGCAGGUGCUUGAUAUUCUUGGAGUCUUGGAUACACGUGCGCCAGUUGACUGGCAAGUCCUCCUCUGGUGGUCGUCAUUCGGUGGUUCGAUUUGUAUAAUUUCAGUAAUUUAAAACCUCCAAAAAUUAAAAUCGAAUCCAAACCGAAAUUAUAAUUUAUUUUGAAAAAUAAAAAACCAUUCCAAGGUUCUAAUCAAUUACAAAAUAUAAUUAAAGAUAUGAAAAUCAGAGUCUUAUGAAAUUUCUUAAACAUUUUGUGAAUCUACCCUUAUCUCUACUUUUUAGAGGUCUUCUAAUAGGUCCACGUAAUUCUUAAAGCAAGUUAUUUAUGUUGGUUAGGUCCCUGUAAAUUUAAUGAAAGAUUGAGGUCUUUUAGCUUUAUAUAUAAAGCUAUAUUGUUUAUUUCAAUGCAGGAAUUGUGUUGUUGCUUUCACUCCAACAACUAUAUUGAAUUAAUGGUCCAUUAUAACACUGAAAGCUGCGUUUAAUAAGAUUUUUUGUGCCGUCUCUCCGAGGUCAUUUAGACAUCAUAUUGAUGUUUAGUAGGUUUCUCUGCAGAAACUAAGGAGCCAUGCUGAAGACAAUACUUGUAAUACAAGUAAAAAACAGCUUUAUAAUUUUAAAAUAUCUAAUUUAACUGGUAAGAUUUUAAAUUUAUUUUUUAAAAAUCACCCAUUCAAGUAUCACAAGCUUAAGAGCCAUUAAAAAUUUAUAUAAUUAUUAAUUUUAAAGCCUGUAUAAUUAGUCAAGGUACAUGUUAAUUAACUUGGAUAUCCAUAUUAAUAAUAAUAAAAAAACUAAUUGUGCGAGGGCUACAAAAAUCAACCAAUCCAGAUAUUAGCAUUUGUCCCAAAUAUAUAUAUAUAUAUAUAUUCUAAUUUACAAACUCUGUUAUUGUAAAUUAAUAACCAAAUAAAAAAGAUAACAACAUUUACUUAGCUAGUAAAGAUGAGACGAAAACAUUUUUAGACAAAAAAAAAAAUUUUUAUAUGUUUCUUGUUUUGAAAACAUAUAAAUUUAAUUCAAUAUAAUUUUUAAAAUAAUUUAAUUUUAUAUCUUUAUCUUUAAUGUUCUUGUAUUUUUAUUUUUUUAAUGUUCUGAAACACCAAAUAAAGUCAAGUGGGCUUAAAAGUUAAGGAAUGCAAUAAAUUGAGAGACUAGAUAUUAAUUGACAGGCAACAACCUUUGUCCUGCGUCAGUGAACAGAUGUGAAUCCUUAAUGUUUGAGGUAAACAGGACAUGCUCAUGAUCUUAUGCCAGGGAAGGUGUCAUGAAUGUCUUGCAAACGGGUCCCAUGACAAAGAGAACCACAUAAAAUGAAAUUGUUCUUCACAAGGAGGGUCUUUGUCAGCGCUCCAUAAAAUAAAGUUUCAUAUGAAGUAGUUUUAUUAACAAGGAAAAAGCAGUUACCAACUUUCAAGCUUACCUUUUUGUCUACAUUGGAUCAGCAGAAGCCGUUUUGCUUGACUCCUGCCCGCCAUAAAAAACAUGGAAAUCACAGACCUUCACAAUACCUUUCAUUGUUCGUGCAGGAAAAAAAAAUCUAAAUAGAAAGAAACAAUUUUAACCAAGAAGUUUGACACAUGACCUAAGUAAUCACGUACGGUCACCUUGAUAAAAGCAGAGAAAACAGAGAAAUAACCCUUCUCAGUUCUCACCCUACCCUAUCUCUAUCUAACCAAAAAAUCGAGACAGCUUCUUCUUCUUUUUGUAGAAAAUCUUAUUGCACCAUUGCUUAAUGCAUACGGCAAGGAAUAUGAAGCUGAUGGGUCAGAUUAACCAAAUUUGUUUUGUUGCCACGCACAACAUCCUAUUCAAUCUUCGUGGUUAUGUUUUUCCUUAAUUUUCCUUUUCUAGUUUGCUACUUUCCUUACGACUAUUCCCUUAAUGUUAUUGAGAGAGAAAGGGAGGGAACUUCUGAGAAGAUUUACAUGCUAUUAUGGUUUCAUAUCUACAAGCCGACUUUUGAAACAAUCAUCGAGACGAGUGCUUUUCCCUAAAUGCUGUUCUGAUAAUUGCGAUUGACACUAAAAUGCAGGUUGAUUCUGCUUUGCAUGAAGUAAAAACGAGGGCUUCUAUCCAAAGCACUGGGUUCUCAUUCCUACUGAGUUCCGUUCUGUACUGUUGUAUACAUCUGGUUGUAAAGCUAUAGUAAAUGAUCUUACAUUGUUGUGAGAGAUGGACCCUUUUUGGUAGCCAACAAUCAUUAAGAUAUAAAAGAACAGGAUCUAUCAUAAUAACUUAGAAAGAAUACAUACAAUCAGUUCAACCAGGAAGAAAAAAGGAGAGACUCUUGAGUUCUGUUCAUGAAAGCCUUUACUUCAGCGAGGUUCCAAGUCAGAUAUUGUUGCAUCAUUCACAGAAUAAAUUUUAUUCCUGAGAACACUGUCCUCCUCUUCAUCUCUUUUGGUUGAAAAAGAAGGCCUUUUUGGAGUGGCGAUAGGUGCAUUUUCAUUUUUUAGCAUCGAAGAAAUUUUUAACAUAGAUGGCCUGUCCAAAGGAUUUUCUUGGACGCAUAAUAGAGCAACUUGCAGGCAUCUUGUGAGUUUACAUGAUGAAAAGGAAUCGUCUAGCGAUGGAUCGAAAAACUCCACGCCUUCACCAUCUUUCCAUAAUUCAUAUGCCUGAAACAAUUUGAUAACCAUAUUGGUAUUCAAAUGCGGACUAUGGGAGAAAAAAAGUGAAUUAUGCAUUCAUAUAUUGGAAAAGAUGUGACUGAUCACUUACAUAUUCAAGAAGGUUCCAGUUUUCGUCUGCACCAUAGUAACAUGUACUCCUCUUGCCACUUAUGAUUUGCAGGAGUAGAACUCCAAAGCUGUAAACAUCAUAUUUCAUGGAGUAUAUGCCUUUUCUUACAUAUUCAGGGGGACAUAACCACUGCAAUUCAAAAAAUAAAUAAGAAUGAGAAGAUUUAGCAAACAGUUCAUGUCGAAAUAUGUACCACUUUGAGACAAUUUCCUUACUAUGUUCCAACUAUCCUGCUUGUGUUUGCUUCGAGUUCAUCUUUCCUGAAGAGCCUAGCCAUACCAAAGUCUGAUAUCUUAGGGUUCAUUUCCUCAUCCAAUAGAACGUUGCUACUCUUUAUGUCUCGAUGAAUAAUGGUAAAAUUCGAGUAUUCUUGGAGAUACAGAAGCCCUUGAGUAAGACCUUCAAUGAUUUGAACGCGUUUUCUCCAAUCUAACAUGUAUCUUCUGACUGGAUCUACAUCGAAGGAGACCUUAAACAAUUAUUCGAGGUACAUUUAGAAGGUUGGCCAAACUAAGCUAGAGAAAAAGAUUCUACUGACCAUAGAUGUAGAAAUCCAAGCUCUUGUUCGGCAUGUACUCGUAGAUCAGCAUCUUUUCUUCCCUCUCGGUGCAAAAUCCCAAAACUGUAACUAUAUUCACAUGUUGAAGUUUUUCUGUAAGUGUGACCUCAUUUUUGAACUCCUCUUCACCUUGAGUCGAAGUUUUUGACAGUCUCUUCACUGCUAUUUCCUUUCCGUUUGGUAGUUUACCCUGGCAAAACAAAUGCCUCAAGCUGUCAUGUUUUCGAUCCUUUCAAAGUCAUUCAAGACAAUUACUUGCCAAUAUUCUGUACCCUCGACAUCCUUCUUUCGUAUAGAAUAUAAACAUACAGCUUAUAUGUAAUUAGUGUUCUGCAGUGAAAGAAUCAGAACGCAUUUAUAUUUUGCCAAAUUUAUUUACCUUGUAGACAGAGCCAAAUCCACCUACUCCAAGUUUGUUUUCACUCGAAAAGUUAUUAGUAGCCGCAGCAAUCGUAUCAAAACUGAGUGCUUGCAGAUUUGGAGCAUCGCUAUUAAUAGCUCUAGUAGCAGAUACUUUGAUUUUCACUGCAGAUAGUGAUUUUUGGACACUCCCAGCAAUUUCUGUUACCAUGAAACAAAUCAAAGAACUAACUGUAUCUUAAUCCUGUUGUAAUAAUUGGUGAACCAACUCAAAAUUUUGGUUAAUAUAUUUGGAAAAUUGUCACAACGGGAAGAUGUUACCUUUUGAGCCGAGUUUUUUCCUUCGAAAGUAACAACAAAUUAUGGUGCCCACACGAGAAAGACCACAGCAAUCGUAACCAGAAUAGUUACCAAUACCUUCCUCUUGUUCAGUCCAUCUUCAUCUUUUCCCUGAGCUGCGAGCAUUUAUCAUCAUGUAAGUAUUGUUUUAUGAUAUCUUUCUAUUGCAGUGAAAGCUCAUUUACUCUAUAAAACACACCUCACAGAACUUAGUAUUGCAGGGGAGGGCAAUUGAUAAUUCAAAAGCAAUUGAAACAUCUCUAGUCCGGUGUUUCAUUAAAAUAAAGAAAAAAUGGGAGAUCGAAAUUUCCACGAACAACCUACCUGCUCGAGAAAGAAUCCAAUUAUCGUCAUUGGAGAGCUGAAAUACGCUGUAACCACUAAGAUUGUUCUCCUUUGCAUAAGAAAUCUUAGCCUUGAUAGUCUCCACAUCAUCAAAAUUGAUCCAAAUCGACCCAACAACGACAAGCUUCGUAACAUAGGUAGAAUUGUACACUGCUGCAGCUCCAUAGCCAUAACCUUGAAUGAAAGAUUUAAUAUUCUUAUAACCCAUGGAACCAUCACGUGUUACAGCUGGACCCGAGGAGGGUGCCCCAAACUCUUUUUCGUUGGGGUUCACCAGUGUCCAUGCAUAACCAUGGUAAGGCAAACCCAAAACCAGUUUGCUAGCAGAUAAUCCUCCUCUUAACCAUUCCUUUAUCCAUUCAUCGGUGUUAACCCAAUUUGAAGUGCCAUAUAAAGCAGCAUGUGCACCAGUAAAAUUAAAUUCUGCAGGCACAUGAUAGUCAUAUGCAACAAGAUGUAUCCAAUCUAAGGUCCUUUUCAUGAUAUCAAUAGGAUAAGUAGCCGAGUGCUGAGCAGGCGAGUGAGUAGCUGACAUUACCAAGAGCAACUGUGACUUGCCAGAUUUUCUUGAAUCGGAAGCUAUAGCGUCUCGCCACUCAUCGAACAGGAUUCCUAGAUUGGUCAUGUUGAUGCUCAUACUUGGCCCAACCGACCCAACCCAAAUGUCUAGGCCAUCAAAACCAUAAAGCCUCGCUGUAUAUAUCGAGGACUCGAUAAAAGACUUUCUAUAAGAAGACUGAUUUAUCAUCGAGGAAAACGUUGGAAGACCCCUUCCCCAAGCCGCGAUGGAUAGAAGGGUUUUAACUGAAGGGUUCUUAACCCUGACAGUGCCUGUGAAGGUAGAGAAGUAGGAUUCUUUGGAAGAGUUGAUAUGAAUAUGAUAAGUAGAAGAAUUUAUAGUAGAAAAGGCACAUACAAGGUGAGUAAAAAGAGCAGAAUUGAUAUUAGAAACGGGCAUUUCACUGACGGAAUCCCAGUAACCUGCUCUAAUCCAGGUUUCUUGGGAGUUUGAGCUGUGAACAUAGGAAGAUAGAAAGAGAAGGAGGGUGAUGAUCAUAGUGUUGCAAGCCAUUGAAGAAGAAGCUUACUUUUGCAACCCCAGCAGGACUCCUAAUCUGUAUCCGUGAGAAGUGAAACUCUUGGAUCUGGGGCCUCGUACUUUUCUGAAAGGUUAUUUGCUUGAAGUGUAAUAAACGAGAAUGUUUUUAGUCUUGCCAGUUAACGUGCAGUCUGUGUUUUUUCCUAGAAGGGACAAUCAAUGCUCAAUUAGUUAUCACCUUGAUCAUGUUGCCAUGUGGUAGGACGAAAAAAAAAAAACUAUAAGCUUUUUUAAUAUUUUUUGUUUUGUUUUUAUACAUGGUUUGGUGGCACCUUGUAGUUGUUAUUGUACAACGCUAUUUCCAGUCAAUUUUUACAUCCUAAAAAUUCAACCUUUCUUUUUAAUUUUGUCAAAGAAAGAUUAUUUAUAUCGAUGUUAGAAAAUUCAAGAAAAUUUCGCUUCCAAAAUGACUGGAUUUUGAUGAGAUAUAAAAGUGACGAUCCUAAAAUACCUGAUAGAAAGUCUAGUGAUUUGACCAGCUUAGCGUGUCCACAUUCCAUUGAUUCUUAGUUUUGAGGUCCAUCCAAACGAAUCAUUCUUUGCAUUAUCAAGUUAUAGUUCAUAUUGGAGUCCGGUUACUUUUAUUUUUUAAAUUUUAAAGUAUUUUUUAUAUUAAAAUAUAUUAAAAUAAUAAUUUUUAUUUUAUAAAAAAUAUUUUUAAAACCAGUGCAUUAAUACGAUACAAAAUAUAAAAGAAAUUAAUUUUUUAUAAAAAAAUAAUUUCAAACAUUUUCUUAAAGUAUUUUAAACUUGAAAUUUAUCUUAUUUUUUUAUUUAAUUUUAAAUAAAUAAAUAAAUAAAAAUAAUAAAAUUUAAAUAUAUAUUUAUUUGAUUGUUAGUUUUUAUUUAGUUUUGAUACUAAAUAAAAAAACUAUUUUUGCUUGUGCUAAGACCCCAGCAAAAAGGGAUGUGCUAGGAAGUUUUCAGUUACUUGCACAAGUACGUUUUGGCUUGCUCUUUGACAGGUGUCCUAAUUUCCCUCUUCAGACCAGAGAUGCUGAAACAUCUCGUCUUUCCCCUCUUUUAGCUGUUUGCAACCUCCACCUUGUGCAAAAGAAAGCAAGGAAAAUGAUGGUGCCAACAAAAAAAAGUCAUAACCGAGCCUGGCUGACAAGAGUCUCAACCGAGGCUGCCAACCACGAGCCCAACCGAGCUUGUCCUAAGCUCAACUCAACUGUUACGGGUUAUUUUUCGCUUCGUGAAUAAAAUCGUGUGGCAGUUCAAUUCCUCACUAAACUCAGCUUUUUCUUAUCAAUCUCAUUCAUGUUUAUCUAAUAACUAAGUAUUUUCUUGACGUAAGAGAUUUCUCUACUUUUCCAAAUUAAAAAACAAGUGAAAUAUACAAGUAUAUUGCACGCCACAAAGCAAAGCACACCGAAAAUACAAGAAGAACUCCAAUCCUUUAUUUAUCUCGUUAAUAAAAGAUUACACAAUGAGUAUGUUUGUUAUGCACAAAAAUCGUAUGCUACACAGCCAAGCUUACACACGUUAUUUCCUUCUACAAACAAGAGUUGUAAACAACUAUUUAUAGCCAAGUAUGUGAGCUGCAAGGCACACCUAUAAUCUCUAUUUUUAAGGAUUUAGUGGGACAUUUUCUCCCUCGUGAUCUCCAUGAUCUUAGUGGCCUAUUUUCUAGCAAGUAGUGCACAGUUGUUGCCCAUGAUCCCAUGAUCCAGUAGCGGGUAGAGCAAUCUCCUUGAUUAGCCCCCACGUUUUGCCCAAUGAUCCCAUGAUCUAGAAAGUUCAUAACUCCCACUCACCCGCAUUCUUGCAUGCAUACCUGGCAACCCCAACUACCAGUUCUUGUGCUGUUGAGUCACUUGUAUGUCUUGGACAAUCCUUUGUCCAAGUCUUAGAUCGUGCUAAGUCGAACCCAUGACUUGCACAAGCUGUUGUGCACUGUCGAAUUCGCAUCUACGUGCAAGCUGCCAAUUCCUGCGCUGUUAAAUUCCGCGAUAGCCCCAGUUCUUGUCAACCUAUCUCCUUGAUGAGUUUUCCUGCUUAGCCUAGAUAUUCCAUCGUCCAGCCUAUGUUUGUCAAUAAUCUACAUUAUUGAUUUUUCUUUGAUGAAUCUACAACUAGACAAAUCUGCUGCCAGUACCUUUAGAUACUGUUUUGAAUAGUCUUUUAAAGUGUGCACACACUGUUUUGAAUAGUCUUUUAAAGUGUGCACCACAUGCGCGUUUAACGGUGUUACACUAACCCUUUUAAUUUUCAAACGAACCCUUUUUUCCCGAACUCAACCUAACCCUCUCAUCUUUUAAUCGAAUCCUCUCUUUCUUGGCACAACUUAACCUUCACGUUUCCCGACCCAACUUUUAUAUUUUGACAGGGAAUUUAUUUCGCAGGCGAGUCAGUUGAAAAGCUAAAAUCUAGUAUGAGAAAGUCUCACGACUUCAUAGAAAAAAGAGAGAGGAAAGAGUGGAAACACAUUCAGGAGACAUCUGUGCUAAUAUUUGACCUGCGAAGCUUCUUGAAAGAAGCAUCAUUUGAGAAGUCAGCCACAGCUAUUUUGAUAAAACUUGUUGCGUGGGCUGGCAUCAAUAUAAUUCCACGUUCAAGAUUUCAAUCUAGAAAAGGAAUUGAUAACUUGUAGGGUCGCCAGAAUUGUCUUAGUACGUGAAGACUUUUGUGUAAGACUUGUGGUGGCCUUUGAUACGUCGACAGGAGCAGUCUAUCAAAGUUUUUUUCAUAUAAAUUUUAUUUUGCUAUGACUGAUGAAUUUUAGCGGUAUCAAAAAGGUGGCCUGAAGGAGGAAUUUGAGUCCUAGCAAAAAGGGAGAGCCGAACCCGAAUCUUUAUCGUUAAAUAUCACAACUAAAAUGCAAAUAUAUAAUCAUACACCUUUAUUUCGACAUUAUAACUUUACGUAUAGCAAGGUGUCCCAACACAUAAGGCCAGUGAGCAAAUUUAUUCAGAACUAACUGCUUAGUGGAAAGAGGCAUAUUGCAUGGCAUUAUAGUUCAGUUACGGAGUUGUUUGAUAAUAAUCUAGAAAAAACACAACGAGCUUGCUGUUCAAGUCUGUAAACAGAUUUAGCAUUUGCUUCAAGCUUCUGCAAGAAAGUACUUCCUCAUCGCCCGACGACUUGCGAGAUUGUUGCAUCAUCAACUGAACAAAUAUUUAAGUGCAAUUGCUCAGGUCUGUUUUCGUCAUCUUCAUCUGUCCUCACAGAAAAAGCAGGCCUUUUGGGAAUGGUCACAAUGGCAGUUUCGUUUUUGAGCAUUGAAGAAACUUCCACCAUAGACGGCCUAUCAAUAGGAUUUUCUUGGACACAUAGCAGUGCAAUUUGCAAGCAUUUGAUCAAUUUACAAGAGGACAAUGUGUCAUCCAGCGAUGGAUCCAUGAUCUCCAUGCCUUUACCAUCUUUCCACAGCUCGUAAGCCUGCAAUUAACAAAAAUCAUAAUCAUGCAUGACAAAUGCAAAAUCUAAAAUAUCGUCAGUUGUGUUCUCAAGAAACUUACAUAUUCUAGGAGGCUUAAAUUUUCACCAGAACCAUACAAGGAGCCAUUCUUCUUGCCGCUUAUGAUAUGCAGUAGUACCACUCCAAAACUGUAAACAUCAGAUUUUAUGGAAUACACGCCGUUUCUGACGUAUUCCGGAGGAACAUAACCGCUGCACAGGAUGAUUUCAUUCACAAUGUUAAGUUUUCAAAAAUAAUUUAUGUAUGAAAUGAAUUUGUGCAUGAGGCUUACUAUGUCCCAACAACCCGGCUAGUGUUUGCUUCUUGUUCAUCUUUUGUGAAAAUUCUAGCCAUACCAAAAUCAGAUAUCUUAGGCUUCAUAUCCCCAUCCAGUAAAAUGUUGCUGGCUUUCAAGUCUCGAUGGAUAAUUGUCAGUCUCGAAUAUUCUUGGAGGUACAGAAGGCCUUGAGUUAUCCCUUCAAUGAUUUCUGCCCUUUUCUUCCAAUCCAACAAAUAUCGCCUAAUCGGAUCUGUCAUAUCAGAUAACAAACUAUCAAGGCUAUAAGCAUUUUCGAUCUUACUGACACGAACAUGCAUAAGAAUGUCGGAAAUUGUAAUGCAAUGAAAGACUAGAUCACACUCAAAUCUUUUUUUAUUUCUGUAAAGCGAAGCAUAAAAGGAUGCUGAGUGCUAACCAUAUAGGUAACAGUCCAGGCUUUUUUUUGGCAUGUACUCAUAGAUCAGCACCUUCUCUUCUCUGCCAACGCAAAAUCCCAAAACUUUCACGAGAUUUACAUGUUGUAAUUUUGCAGUGAGCAUAACCUCAUUCUUGAAUUCAUCAAAUCCUUGAGUAGAGGAUUUCGAAAGUUUUUUCACUGCUAUUUCUUGUCCACCUGGUAAAACACCCUGGAAAAACAGAAUGUCAUGCUAAUUUCUUUCACUCAAAGACUGAAAUCUGAAUGCUUGAAGAAUUUUAAUGAGUUUUCGGUAUAUUUUCAUCACAAUAGAAAAAGAAUUGUUACAGCAUUUAUAUUAUAUGCUAACUAUAUCUUCUCCUAUAUUUAAGCUACUGGAAAGUUAAAAUAGAAUUGAAGUCUAUCUCUAGUAUACGAGUUUAUCACAAUAUCAGUUUGCAAGUUAUCUUGAAUAUGCCUCCUAUAUCUUCCUGAUUCAACAGUUUGAAAGUUAUCUCCAAUAAAGAUAAGCAUGUCUUAUCCCUGCAAAAGAGAGAGAGUUUUCUAAAUGGCAGGAGACAGACACUUAAUGACUCCAUUUUCACAAGUGGAACAUGUCUCUAGAAAUGCUUACUCACAGUCCAUUCUUGCAAAUGGUUGCAUAUCUCCAUGAAUCCUCAACAAAAUAUAGCAUCAUGAGUUGAAGAGUAAUGUCCCAUUGUAACCUAUAAAGAAUUAGUUAAUUACCUUGUAAACAGGGCCAAAUCCACCCUCCCCAAGCUUAUUUUCAAAUGCAAACUGGUCUGUAGCUUUCUCAAUAUCUGCCAAACUAUAUUCUAUCAGAUCAGGAUUAUUGUCUGUCGAAGUCGCCUGCUGCUGCCGCAUUAUUUACUUUCAACUUUGUUUCUUUACUCUUUGAUUUGAGGAUUCUAAUUCUUAUGAAAUAAAAUGCCAAGCCCAGUAGAAUAAUAACAGCAGCAGUUGUUGUCAAGAUGAUAAUCAAUAUACGGGAUUUUGGUCGUCCUUCGUGUUUGGGGUCAACCCCUCCACCUGAGUCAACCCCCCCAGCUGAGGACAUAGACAUAUUAUGUGAAUUAGCGAUCAGAAUUGUCUGUGUCCAGUAAAUUUUAAAAGAUUAUUCAAGGAUGAUAAAAGAUUAUUCAAGAAAGAUUUAAAACAAAAUGAUGCAGAUGUUUUGCAUAAAAAAAUGUAAUCACAGAUUAUUCAAGGAUGAUAAAUCAUUAUUUUUUGGCAGCCAGAUGGUACCAAUUGUCGAAUUUAUAUAGGCAGACAAUAUCCAACCAUCUAAACACACAAAAGAUUAAAAAAACUGCAAGUAGGUACACAAUCCUGCAUUAUAUAUGACAAGCCUUAAUGACAAAUAGCUGAUGAUGGCCUUUUGGUUUUACCCUGAAGCAAGUAGGAAUUCAUAAGAAUUCAGAUAAAAAGAAUAUCUGGCAAGAUUCUCUAUAUAUUGCACAUUAACAAUCAAAUUAAUCAAUCAAGGCCAACCUCUUGACAUCAUUGUUAUCACGAUGGUCAAAGAACCAUUUUGUGGCUUAAGAACAUUCCCAUACCUGCUUGAGAGAGUACCCAGUUGUCAUCUUGAGAGACUUCCCAUACAACAUAUCCCAGGAGGGCCUUCUCCUUGGCAUAAGAAACCUUAGUUCUAACAACAUCAACACCAUCAAAACUAAUCCAAGUUGACCCUACGAUGCCGUAAUUUACCACAUAAGUGGAAUUGUAGAUAGGAUCAACUCUUCCGUUUGCUUUGAAAUAAUUAUUGAUAACUUUAUAGCUCAUGGAUCCAUCUUCUGUAACGGCUGGUCCAGUUGCUGGUGCGCCAAUGGCAUUUUCAUUCGGGCUUGCAAGUUUCCACGCAUAACCAUAGAAAGGCAAACCUAAAACCAACUUACUAGCCGGUAAUCCUCCAUUAAUCCAUGCUCUUAUUCCAAAAUCAGUGUUAACAUCACUAUCAGGAUCAUACAAAGCUGCAAAAGCAGCCGUGAAGUUAGCCCAUGUAGGCAUGAAGUAGUCAAAAGCCAGCACAUGAGUCCAAUUCAAAUUCUUCCGUAUAGAGUCUAUAGGGAAACUCCCGGAAUCCAGUCUUGGCGAGUACUGAACGGCUGCUGUCAGGAUGAGUUCUGACAGGCUAGAGUUUCUUCCCUCCAAAGCAAUAGCAGCACGCCACUCUUCGAAGAGGGUACCCAUACUGUCCAUGUUAUCGCUUGUGCUGGCCGAAACCCAGCUGAAGUCUAGCCCUUGAAAGCCAUAAUGCCUCGCUAUUUUUAUUGAGUCAUCUAUGAAAAACUUCCUGUAAGUAGAAUUGCCUGCCAUUGCAGAGAGUGUUGAAUAGUUUGUGCUUCCUCCUCCAAUGGAUAGUAAGGUAGUGAUCGAUGGAUUCUUCUGUUUUACGGUGUUUGUGAAGGCAGAGAAGAGUGGGUCAUCUGAGGAGGAGAUAGACAGGUGAUACGAAGAUGAAUUAAGGCCAGCAAAAGCACAAAUAAGGUGAGUAUAGAGGGUAGAAUUUAUGUCAGAAAUUGGGAGGUCACUGCCAGAAAACCAAUAGCCAGCUUUGAUCCAUGCUUGUGCUUUUGCAGGAUGCAAUUUUAAAGAGAGAAAUACAUGAAAGAGGAUGAUGAUAGUAAUUCUCGAUACCAUUGGAGCUUGCUUGAUAAAAAUACAAGGAAGGCAAAUGUACAAAGACAAAAGCAUGUAAAUGUUCCAGUCAGGACUCGGUUCUCAGUGCCACCGUUACCGCGUUCCCGUAUGUCACGGUUCCGCCAUGCUUUUUUAUUUUAUUUUUUAAAAACAUUUAAAUUAGUAUUUUUUUAAAUGUUUUUUAAUUGUCUUAAUUUAUUGAUUUCAAUAAUAAAAACAUUUUUAAAAAAAAAUAUUAUUUUAAUAUAUUUUAAAAUAAAAAAUAUUUUAAAAAAUAAUAUUUACUAAACUAUCAAACUUGCUUUAAACUAGACUCCAUUAAAACUUUGUAUUUUCUAUUUUAAAAAAUAAAAUAAUUUUAGUUUUAUUUUAAAAUAAAAAUUUUAAAAAAUGUUGUUAACUCAAAUGAAACUUAAUUAAGACACCUCAAUCGUUACCAAAUCGUUUUAGAAACUUGAAAUUGUAAUAACGGUGAUAGUUUAAAAUAUUUUUUGUUUAAAAAUAUAUCAAAAUAAAAAAAAAUAUUUUUUAAAAAAUAUUUUUGACAUUAGUAUAUUAAAAUAAUUUUAAAAAAUAUAAAAAAAAAUUUAAAUAUAAAUAAUUUUAAAAAUAUAGGUGUAUUCAGGAUGCAAUUUCAAUUUUAAAAUAUAAUUUCGAUAGAAAUAAUAGUUUUUCAAAAAUGUAUUAAUGAUAAUAAUAUUUUUUAAUUUUACCCUUCAAAUUAAAUCUAUGGUUGCUUUUCAAUAUUGAUAAUAAUAUUUUUCAAAUUUAUUGAUUAUUUUAUUAAUAAUAUUAUUUAAAAUACAAAUAAAAAUGUUUUUAAUAAUAAAAAUAAGAAUAUUUAUAGAACAAAUAAUAAUAUUUUUUAUAUUAAUACUUUUAAUUAUAAUACAAAUAAUAAUAUUUAGAAAUUUAAGACUCAAGAACCUUGGAUCCUAACACUGCACCCAAGAGAAUUGAAUCUUGAUGCAGGACCCAUUAGUCUUAGGUCGUGACAACAGACCCAACAGAAUUAGAUCCUGACAAUGAAUCCAAGAGAAUUAGGUCCUGAAAAAGCACAUAAGAGAAUUGUGUACCGCGAUCGUGGCUGCAGACCCAAGGUGCAUGGGUCUUGUCAUAAUGACCAAUGCAUGGUAACCCCAGCGCCAGGUGUCUACACCCUCAGGCAUGCUAAGAUACAGGGCCCAACAUUGUUGGGUCCUAAUUUUAAGGCAGGCCUAAAAAAUGUGCGUCCUUCUCGAGGUCGGGCCUAAAAUUGUUGAACGCAACUAGGACCUUCUGCUAAGGCAAGCCCAUAACACAUUAGCUUUAAGUCUUGUAACCAAGCAGGAUCCAAUAACGUUAGGCCUCAUUGUCCUAUUGGAUAUAAGAUCCAUGGCUAUUGGGUUCGGUUGUGUAUCAGCACCCAACACUAUUGGUUCCUACUGGGCACCCAACACUAUUGGUUCCUACUGGGCAGCAAUUCCUACCUCCAGCAGGAAAUUUAAAUUUUAAAAAAUAUGUUGAGAUAAUUUUUUUAUUUUUUAAAAUAUAUUUUUUAUAUCAUCAAAUACAAAUAAUACAAAAACAUCAAAAAAAUAUUAAUUUAAAUUAAAUAAAAAUGUUAAAAAAUUGAAAAAACUUUAAGCAUUUUUUAAUCGAAAAAACAAACAUUCUUUAAUAAAAAAAUUCAACCCAACCUGAAAUGAAAAACAAUUAUCAUAACCCAUCUUUUGCACAAUAUAAAAAAAAGUCUCAUUAAUUUAUUUCUUCUUUACCGUAUGAAAAAUAAAAUUAAAUCAGAGAAAAGAGAAGAAACCUUAGACCCAGUUAUAUUGGAAAUAUCCUAAAAUAUUUUUUAAAAAAAACAUGUAUUGAGAUGAUAUUUUUUUUUUGUAAAAUCUAUUUUUUAUAUCAUCACAUCAAAAUAAUACAAAAACAUCCAAAAAUAUUUAUUUGAAGUAAAGAAAAAAAAUACCAAAUUCUUUUUAAAUAUUUUUUGAAAAGCAAAAACAAACAUGUUUUAAUAAAAAACUUCAACCCAACCUCAAAUGAAAACUAUUAUCACCAGCCAACUUUUGUACAAUAUCAAAAAAGUCUCAUCAAUUUAUUUCCUCUUUACAGCAUGGAAAAAAAAUUAAAUAAGAAAAAUAAUUUAAAGAUAAAAAAAAUAAAAUUGAAAAUAUCUUAAAGAUGAAAAAAAAUUGGAAAUCCUAAACCCAAUGAUAUUGCCAAGCCAGACCCAAUAUAUGAAAAAACAAAUUAGAAAUAUCUUAAAAUAUUUUUGUAAGAAAAUAUAAUGAAAUAAUAUUUUUUAUUUUGUAAAAUCUAUUUUUUUAUAUCUUCACAUAAAAAUAAAAAAAAACAUCAAAAAAAUAUUAAUUUGAAUUAAAGAAAAAGGUUAAAAAUUUUGAAAUGUUUUUUUAAGCAUUUUUUAAACGAAAAAACAAACUUGUUUUAAUAAGGAAGUUUAACCCUACCUUAAAUGAAAAAAAAUUAUCAUCACCUAACUUUUGUACAAUAUAAAAAAUAUCUCACCAAUUUUAUUUUUUUUACCAUAUGAAAAAAAAAAUUAGAGAAAAAAAAAUCACAAACUAAAUAUCCUUGGGUAUGGUUGCGCAGCCACACCCAAGGAUAUUGGGUCCGGCUGCCCAACCAGGCCCAAGAUUGAUAUAUCUUUUGGAAUUGAUUUGGGUCCAGCUGGCCAACCAGACCCAACAUUAUUAUGUUAUAUUAGGCAAGAAGAUCCAAUGUUAUUGACACCUUUUGGAAGUGUUUUGGGUCUAGCUUAGUAGCUGGUUGUAGGGUCCAGCGGCCAAGUCAUACCCAACAACUUUUGGUAGAGAAGGUAAUGCCCCUAGCCGUAAUUCUUAACUAAAAAUGCAACUUCUUGACCAUUUAGAGUGCUAUAGUGUCGUCUGCAGUACAAUGUAUUUGUAUCCACAAUAAAUGCAUAAUACCCCCCCCCCCCGUGUUUUAAUACAUAGCAAAACCCAAACAAUGCAAUACACAAUGAAAUCACUCACAAUCUACAAUAAUUCACUAAUCUUUUUUAGGUUUUUUUAUAAUAUGAACACAUGUAAGUUGUGUGUGGAAAUUUAUGCUAUUUGAUUUUGCUAGUAUCAUAUCAGACCUAAUAAAGCUAUAAAGAUCACAGGGAAUAUUAUAGAAGAAAUUAUUUCUAGAGAUCCCUGUAGAUCAUUCAUAAUGUAUUCUACGACCUUCACUUUUCAGAUUGUAUCAGCUUCCUCUUUAAUAAAUAUCUUAUGGGGUUGUAAAUCUUCUCUUAAAUGAAUGCUUGCACAAAGUCUUUUAGAGAUCCCUAACGGUGUUGUUAGAAGACCCUUCAAAGAUCAAGUCAGUACGAUGUAUUUUGUAUGAUAAAAAGAUAUUAGUAAAGGUAUUAAUGAGCUUUUGUAAAGAUAGAAAAGAAAAAGGAGAAGAAGAUGUAGAUGUAAGGGAAGAAGAGAAUAAAUGUGUUCAUGUCUAAGAGCAUAAGGUUUCGAACCUCUUUUUUGUGUACUCAAGCUUCCUUUUAUACUACAUGUCUUGACUUGCUUCAUACGAUAUGUUAGGGGUAGAAAUGUAAUCUCGUAAUGAUAGAAUAAUAUUAUUAUAUUGUUGAAACUAUCACAUCUCAUUAAUAUAAGCAUGAACUACUUGUUCAUAAUUAAUUGGAUGUGAUGAGUAUCAUAAUCACUAGCCCAAACCUAGAGUAAGGGAGGCUUAGAGUGAUGUUACUUUUCAGCUAUACACUAAACUUAGAUGCAUUUGGGUUCAGUUUGUACAUUCAACUCAAGUGUAUUCGGGUUCAGCAGUACGCCAAAUUCAAUAGGAGUUGGGCUCAGCAUGACGUUGAACCCAAGAGGAAUUGGAUUCAGCGGUACGACGAUCUCAAUAGGAGUUGGGUUCAGCUUUAACCCGAACCCAAGAGAAAUUGGGUCCAAUUAUACACUGAACCCAAGAGGAAUUAGGCGCAUACAUGCCUCAUCCCAACUAGAGUUGGGCGUGAACUUGUCCUAACUCAACUUAGAGUUGGACGUGGAUGCAUCCGGGCCCAACUUUAAGUUAGGCAUGAACAUGUCACAGCUCAAUUUAGAGUUGAAGCUAAACGUAUUCUGCUCCAAUACAAGAUUGGGUGUAGAGAAAACAUAACUUAAUUUUAUAUUCAGAUUUUCAUGUGAUGUGAUGGUGGGAGGUUUUUAGAAAACCAUGACCCAUCAAGCCAUAGAGACCAAACAGCACGGCUGAGAGAAAAAGGCAGGCAAUUACGUGGAGAUGGAGUGUGGGGGCCAGGGUCAUAUCAAUUGCAAUUACUUCUUGGUAGGUUUUGUUUUGUUUCUUCAGAUUUCUAGAUUCAACAUUAAAGGUUCUUAUAAGAAAACAUUGCCAGCCCUCUUGUUUUCUUGGUCUAGCUUGGGCUAAAUGUCAAGGAAAGGGGUAGCUGUCUCCCUUAAUUUCUAGACUCAACAUUAAACGUUCUUUUAUAUAUAUAUAUAUAUAUAUAUAUAUAAAAGUCCUAAUUUGGCCCCUUUCAUUGUUCUCCUUUGCAGUUUUCUCAUGAUUUUGAGACAAUUUAAUCGCAAACCAACAUAGAGAUGCAAAAAUAGAAGUGCCCCUAGCUAGAUCAUUUGUAAUUCCAGAAAGGUAAGAAGUUAAAUUUGAAACAGUAAAUCAUUUUAAUUAGUGGCUUAUAUAUCCAUGUUUAAUAACGUACUUAAAUAAUUUUUUAUAAUUAAAUGAAGCCAGGUGAUAUUUUAUAGUACUUUUUUAAAUAAAUAAGUAUUAAUUAUUAAUUGUUUCCAUAAAAAGUAUGAAAUAUUUAUCUUAAAUUAAUUUAUUAUCCUCUAUUUAUAAAUUAGAUGACCACAUGAGAAUUAUUUUUUUUUUUUUUGAAAAAGUGUAGGUUGAAGAAGACUUAAUUUGAUUUGAUCCGACAGAUAUAUGUAACUUUAAACCAUUAAUGUCUUAGAGAUCUACAAAUAUAAUAACUUAAAGUACACAAACUUAUCAUGGCUCAGAUAAUUGCAAUUUUACUACCUGAGACAUUUAUUUUUCUCAUUUCAGUAUAUUGAGUUUUUCAAUUUCACCAAAAAUAGAAUUUUCAAAUUAAAAUUCUUUGGUAAAAAUAAAUUCAAAUUAUGCAGCUCUUUGGUAAGAAGAAGAAGACAGUACUCAAUCAUUCAUUUUUGUCAUUAUCAACACUUAAACCUCCUUGUUGGCCAAUGCAAGAGUUAAUACUAGUUGUUGGCCAAGAAGAAGAUUUUUUUUAAAAUGAGAUGAUCAAAUAUUUUUUUUAAUUUUUUUUAAUUUUUUAUAUAUAUAUAUCUCAUUGUAUGACUAUAUAAACUUUACCUAAUUGAAUGUAAUAUAUAUUAUCAAAUAAUAAUAUCUUUUUUCUAUUUUAAAUUUCUUCUAAUCACAGCUGCAUUUUAUGAUUGCUUAGAGCUAUUGGCAUCAGAUCUUAGCCAUAAUUAUUUUUACUGGAAGUAAUCCAGAAUAUUAGAGCUAUUGGCAUCAGAUCUUGGCCAUAGUUCUAUAAUGGCUGCGUUUUUUUCUUUCAAAUAAGUGACGCAAAUGAGAACAAAAGAAAAAGAAAAACACAAAAAGAAGAAAGAAAGACUUAAAUCAAACUUUGAAAUGUUUACAAAGUUUGAUUUUUGUAUUUUGAGUUGACCUCUAGGAACUUCUAAUUCCAGUCUUUCAAGAUAAGCGACAGGUCAGUUUUUUCUUUUGUAAAUGUUUACAACUCUUUAAAUACAUCAUAAAUCAAACUUUACAAACUUAAAAAAAUCAGAAUCCCAAGUCAAAUAAAAAAUACAAUAUAAAAUCCAGAAUCAAGCUAAAAAUCUAAAAAAAGAAGAAGAAAAUAUAUGGACCAUAGUAACAUAAUUGCCCAGUGGGUAUAGAGUUAUCCCUCCAAAGUUUGUUUCAUCAUCUUCUCAAUUAGCUGACAUCUUUACCAGGCCUCUUGGCAAAGAGGCAUUCUGCUAUAUCCUAGACAAGUUGGGGUCUAUCCAAUCUACAUGCUCCAACUUGAUGGGGAAGUAAUUGGAUUUCUAGAACGGCUACUUCUCUUGAUUCAUGCGGGGGAUCUCGAGCUUUAAUGAGCUUUCCUCACAUGUAAGUCAAUGAUCAUAUCAUCCUGUAAACACCCUUGAUUGUAUACAUCUGGAUUCUUUUCUCUUUUACCUUUGAUACGGGGAUUAUUCCAUGUAAGGAUUGCUAUCUUUACAUAUAAAUAGCUGUUAUAUGAAAUGAAAAUUAAGCCUUUUGGGCUAGCACUUGAUCUAUGAGAACCUACAAUAAAUAUGCAGAAAUUCUUGCCUGGAGAUUCUUGAGCUUCACGAUUCUUGUUCUCCUCUUAUUUUAUUUGCUAAGAGAUCAAGUGAGGAAUCCCGUUAAUUAAUUGUGGCAUCCAAAGAAUGAUAUUGACUUCGAAACAAGUUGGAGAACAAGGAUAAACGACAGUAGGAACUAAAGUUCUGAUGAGGUUACGUCUCAGAAUUUGGCAAUUACAACAGAGCUAGGAAUAUAGUCUUUCCUUUUUGCGCAAGGCUGCUGACUAUACAUCAAACACGAGAAAAACCAUGUUCAUAUUUAUCAUUUUUAUUUUGUUGAGAAUAAAGUUUCAUAUCAAGUAGUUUUAUUAACAAAGAAAUAGCAGUUUCCAACUUUCACCCUUGCCUUUUUGUCUACAUUGGAUCAGCAGAAGCCGUUUUCCUUGACUCCUGCCCGGCAUAAAAAACAUGGAAAUCACAGACCUUCACAAUACCUUUCAUUGUUCGUGCAGGAAAAAAAAAUCUAAAUAGAAAGAAACAAUUUUAACCAAGAAGUUUGACACAUGACCAAGGGUAAGUCACGUACGGUCACCUUGAUAAAAGCAGAGAAAACAGAGAAAUAACCCUUCUCAGUUCUCACCCUACCCUAUCUCUAUCUAACCAAAAAAUCGAGACAGCUUCUUCUUCUUUUUGUAGAAAAUCUUAUUGCACCAUUGCUUAAUGCAUACGGCAAGGAAUAUGAGGCUGAUUGGUCAGAUUAACCAAAUUUGUUUUGUUGCCACGCACAACAUCCUAUUCAAUCUUCGUGGUUUUGUUUUUCCUUGGAGAAGAAAUGCCCUUAAUUUUCCUUUUCUAGUUUGCUACUUUCCUUACGACUAUUCCCUUAAUGUUAUUGAGAUAGAAAGGGAGGGAACUUCUGAGAAGAUAUACAUGCUAUUAUGGUUUCAUAUCUACAAGCUGACUUUUGAAACAAUCAUCGAGACGAGUGCUUUUCCCUAAAUGCUGUUCUGAUAAUUGCGAUUGACACUAAAAUGCAGGUUGAUUCUGCUUUGCAUGAAGUAAAAAUGAGGGCUUCUAUCCAAAGCACUGGGUUCUCAUUCCAACUGUUGUAUACAUCUGGUUGUAAAGCUAUAGUAAAUGAUCUUACAUUGAUGUGAGCUAUGGACCCUUUUUGUUAGCCAACAAUCAUUAAGAUACAAAAGAACAGGAUCUAUCAUAAUAACUUAGAAAGAAUACAUACAAUUAGUUCAACCAGGAAGAAAAAAGGAGAGCUCUUGAGUUCUGUUCAUGAAAGCCUUUACUUCAGCGAGGUUCCAAGUCAGAUAUUGUUGCGUCAUUCACAGAAUAAAUUUUAUUCCUGAGAACACUGUCCUCCUCUUCAUCUCUUUUGGUUGAAAAAGAAGGCCUUUUUGGAGUGGCGAUAGGUGCAUUUUCAUUUUUUAGCAUCGAAGAAAUUUUUAACAUAGAUGGCCUGUCCAAAGGAUUUUCUUGGACGCAUAAUAGAGCAACUUGCAGGCAUCUUGUGAGUUUACAUGAUGAAAAGGAAUCGUCUAGCGAUGGAUCGAAAAACUCCACGCCUUCACCAUCUUUCCAUAAUUCAUAUGCCUGAAACAAUUUGAUAACCAUAUUGGUAUUCAAAUGCGGACUAUGGGAGAAAAAAAGUGAAUUAUGCAUUCAUAUAUUGGAAAAGAUGUGACUGAUCACUUACAUAUUCAAGAAGGUUCCAGUUUUCGUCUGCACCAUAGUAACAUGUACUCCUCUUGCCACUUAUGAUUUGCAGGAGAAGAACUCCAAAGCUGUAAACAUCAUAUUUCAUGGAGUAUAUGCCUUUUCUUACAUAUUCAGGGGGGACAUAACCACUGCAAUUCAAAAAAUAAAUAAGAAUGAGAAGAUUUAGCAAACAGUUCAUGUCGAAAUAUAUACCACUUUGAGACAAUUUCCUUACUAUGUUCCAACUAUCCUGCUUGUGUUUGCUUCGAGUUCAUCUUUCCUGAAGAGCCUAGCCAUACCAAAGUCUGAUAUCUUAGGGUUCAUUUCCUCAUCCAAUAGAACGUUGCUACUCUUUAUGUCUCGAUGAAUAAUGGUAAAAUUUGAGUAUUCUUGGAGAUAUAGAAGCCCUUGAGUAAGACCUUCAAUGAUUGAACGCGUUUUCUCCAAUCUAACAUGUAUCUUCUGACUGGAUCUACAUCGAAGUAGACCUUAAACAAUUAUUCGAGGUACAUUUAGAAGGUUGGCCAAACUAAGCUAGAGAAAAAGAUUCUACUGACCAUAGAUGUAGAAAUCCAAGCUCUUGUUCGGCAUGUACUCGUAGAUCAGCAUCUUUUCUUCCCUCUCGGUGCAAAAUCCCAAAACUGUAACUAUAUUCACAUGUUGAAGUUUUUCUGUAAGUGUGACCUCAUUUUUGAACUCCUCUUCACCUUGAGUCGAAGUUUUUGAUAGUCUCUUCACUGCUAUUUCCUUUCCGUUUGGUAGUUUACCCUGGCAAAGCAAAUGCCUCAAGCUGUCAUGUUUUCGUCCUUUCAAAGUCAUUCAAGACAAUUACUUGCCAAUAUUCUGUACCCUCGACAUCCUUCUUUCGUAUAGAAUAUAAACAUACAGCUUAUAUGUAAUUAGUGUUCUGCAGUGAAAGAAUCAGAACGCAUUUAUAUUUUGCCAAAUUUAUUUACCUUGUAGACAGAGCCAAAUCCACCUACUCCAAGUUUUUUUCACUCGAAAAGUUAUUAGUAGCCGCAGCAAUCGUAUCAAAACUGAGUGCUUGCAGAUUUGGAGCAUCGCUAUUAAUAGCUCUAGUAGCAGAUACUUUGAUUUUCACUGCAGAUAGUGAUUUUUGGACACUCCCAGCAAUUUCUGUUACCAUGAAACAAAUCAAAGAACUAACUGUAUCUUAAUCCUGUUGUAAUAAUUGCUGAACCAACUCAAAAUUUUGGUUAAUAUAUUUGGAAAAUUGUCACAACGGGAAGAUGUUACCUUUUGAGCCGAGUUUUUUCCUUCUAAAGUAACAACAAAUUAUGGUGCCCAACACGAGAAAGACCACAGCAAUCGUAACCAGAAUAGGUACCAAUACCUUCCUCUUGUUCAGCCCAUCUUCAUCUUUUCCCUGAGCUGCGAGCAUUUAUCAUCAUUAAGUAUUGUUUUAUGAUAUCUUUCUAUUGCAGUGAAAGCUCAUUUACUCUAUAAAACACACCUCACAGAACUUAGUAUUGCAGGGGAUGGCAUUUGAUAAUUCAAAAGCAAUUGAAACAUCUCUAGUCCGGUGUUUUUUUUAAAAUAAAGAGGAUAAAAUGGGGGAUCGAAAUUUCCACGAACAACCUACCUGCUCGAGAAAGAAUCCAAUUAUCGUCAUUGGAGAGCUGAAAUACGCUGUAACCACUAAGAUUGUUUUCCUUUGCAUAAGAAAUCUUAGCCUUGAUAGUCUCCACAUCAUCAAAAUUGAUCCAAAUCGACCCAACAACGACAAGCUUCGUAACAUAGGUAGAAUUGUACACUGCUGCAGCUCCAUAGCCAUAACCUUGAAUGAAAGAUUUAAUAUUCUUAUAACCCAUGGAACCAUCACGUGUUACAGCUGGACCCGAGGAGGGUGCCCCAAACUCUUUUUCGUUGGGGUUCACCAGUGUCCAUGCAUAACCAUGGUAAGGCAAACCCAAAACCAGUUUGCUAGCAGAUAAUCCUCCUCUUAGCCAUUCCUUUAUCCAUUCAUCGGUGUUAACCCAAUUUGAAGUGCCAUAUAAAGCAGCAUGUGCACCAGUAAAAUUAAAUUCUGCAGGCACAUGAUAGUCAUAUGCAACAAGAUGUAUCCAAUCUAAGGUCCUUUUCAUGAUGUCAAUAGGAUAAGUAGCCGAGUGCUGAGCAGGCGAGUAAGUAGCUGACAUUACCAAGAGCAACUGUGACUUGCCAGAUUUUCUUGAAUCAGAAGCUAUAGCGUCUCGCCACUCAUCGAAAAGGAUUCCUAGAUUGGUCAUGUUGAUGCUCAUACUUGGCCCAACCGAAAGGUCUAGGCCAUCAAAACCAUAAAGCCUCGCUGUAUAUAUCGAGGACUCGAUAAAAGACUUUCUAUAAGAAGACUGAUUUAUCAUUGAGGAAAAAGUUGGAAGACCCCCUCUCCUAGCCAAGAUGGAUAGAAGGGUUUUAACUGAAGGGUUCUUAACCCUGACAGUGCCUGUGAAGGUGGAGAAGUAGGAUUCUUUGGAAGAGUUAAUAUGAAUAUGAUAAGUAGAAGAAUUUAUACGAGAAAAGGCACAUACAAGGUGAGUAAAAAGAGCAGAAUUGAUAUUAGAAACGGGCAUUUCACUGAAGGAAUCCCAGUAACCUGCUCUAAUCCAGGUUUCUUGGGAGUUUGAGCUGUGAACAUAGGAAGAUAGAAAGAGAAGGAGGGUGAUGAUCAUAGUGUUGCAAGUCAUUGAAGAAGAAGCUUACUUUCGCAACCCCAGCAGGACUCCUAAUCUGUAUCCGUGAGAAGUGAAACUCUUGGAUCUGGGGCCUCGCAUUUUUCUGAAAGGUUAUUUGUUUGAAGUGUAAUAAACGAGAAUGAUUUGACUCCUGGUAUUUUUAGUCUAUGAUUUUUCCUAGAAGGAACAAUCAAUGUUCAAUUAGGUAUCACCUUGAUCAUGUUGCCAUGUGGUAGGACGAAAAAAAAAAAAAACUAUAAGCUUUUUUAAUAUUUUUUGUUUUGUUUUUAUAAAUGGUUUGGUGGCACCUUGUAGUUGUUAUUGUACAACGCAAUUUCCAGUCAACUUUUACAUCCUAAAAAUUCAACCUUUCUUUUUAAUUUUGUCAAGGAAAGAUUAUUUAUAUCGAUAUUAGAAAAUUCAAGAAAAUUUCUCUUCCAAAAUGACUGGAUUUUGAUGAGAUGUAAAAGUGACGAUCCUAAAAUACCUGAUAGAAAGUCGAGUGAUUUGACCAGCUUAGCGUGUCCACAUUCCAUUGAUUCUGAGUUUUGGGGCUCGUCCAUCCAAAUGAAUCAUUCUUUGCAUUAUCAGGUUAUAGUUUGGAUUGGAACGUGGUGGGAAGGAUAUUUUUUAAAGUAUUUUUUAUAAUAAAAUAUAUUAAAUUGAUAUUUUUUUUAUUUUAUAAAAAUUAUUUUUGAGAUUAGCUUUUUAAAAUGAUUUAAAAUAUAAAAAAAUUAUUUUUUUGUAAAAAAAAUAAUUUCAAACAUUCUCUUAAAGUAUUUUAAAAUUAUCUAUUAUUAGUUUUGAUACUAAAUAAAAAAACUAUUUUUGCUUGUGCUAAGACCCCAGCAAAAGGGGAUGUGCUAGGAAGUUUUCAGUUACUUGUACAAGUAGGUUUUGGCUUGCUCUUUGACAGGUGUCCUAAUUUCCCUCUUCAGAACAGAGAUGCUGAAAUAUCUCGUCUUUCCCCUCUUUUAGCUGUUUGCAGCAUCCAUCUUGUGCAAAAGAAAGCAAGGAAAAUGAUGGAGCCAACAAAAAAAGUCAUAACCGAGCCUGGCUGACAAGAGUCUCAACCGAGGCUGCCAACCACGAGCCCAACCGAGCUUGUCCCAAGCUCAACCUAAUUGUUACAUGCUAAUUUGGGACAAGCUCAACCUAAUUGUUACAUGCUAAUUUUUCACUCCGCGAAUAAACCCGUGUGGCAGCCUAGUUUCUCAUUACACUUAGUUUUUUCUCACCAAUUCCACUCAUAUUUACCUAGUAACUAAGUGUUUCCCUCACACGAGAGAUUUCCCCACUUUCCCAAGUUAAAAGACAAGCGGAAUACACAAGUAGAUUGCAUGCCACAAAGCAAAGCACACCGAGAAUACAAGAAGAACUCUCAUCCUUUAUUUAUCUCGUCAACAAAGGAUUAUAUAAUGAGUAUGUGUGCUAUGCACAAAAAUCAUAUGCUACACAUCCAAACUUACACACGUUAUUUCCUACCUACAAACAAGAGCCGCAACAACUAUUUAUAGCCAAGUAUGUGAGCUGCAAGACACACCCAUGAUGUCUAUUUUUCAAGACAUAGUGGGACACUUUCUCCCCCAUAAUCUCCAUGAUCUUAGAGGCCUAUUUUCCAGUAAAUAGUGGACAGUUACUGCCCAUGAUCCCAUGAUUCAGCAGCUUGUAGAGCAAUCCCCUUGAUAAGCCCCCAUGUUUUUCCCUAUGAUCCCAUGAUCUAGGAAGUCCAUAACUCCCGCUCACCCAUGUUCUUGCAUGCCCACCUGGCAGCCCCAACUAUCAGUUCUUGUUGCGUCAAUUGUUGCGUCAAUUGUUGAGUCACCCGUAUGUCUUGAACAGUCCUUCGUCCAAGUUUUAGAUCGUGUCAAUUCGAACCCAUGACUUGCACAAGUUGUUGCGUGCUGCCGAAUUCACAUUUGCGUGCAGGCUGCCAAUAUCUGUGCUGCAGAAUUCCAUGACAGCCCCAAUUCUCGUCAGCCUAUUUACCUGAUGAGUUUUCCUGUUUGGUCUGGACAUUCCAUCGUCCAGCCCAUGUUUGUCAACAAUCUGCGUUGCUGAUUUUUCUUUGACGAACCUACAACUGCAUAAAUCUGCGUUGCCAAUUUAUUCCACUAUUGGUCUAGCUGUCAGCACUCUUAAACACUGUUUUAGAUAGCCUGUCAAAGCGUGCACCUCGGGCGUAUUUAACCAUGUUACACUAACCCUUUUAUUUUUCAAACGAACCCUUUUUUCCCCAACUCAACCUAAUCCGCUCAUCUUUUAAUCGAAUCCUCUCUUUCUUGGCACAACUUAGCCUUCACGUUUCCCGACCCAACUUUUAUAUUUUGACAGGGAAUUUAUUUCGCAGGCGAGUCAGUUGAAAAGCUAAAAUCUAGUACGAGAAAGUCUCACGACUUCAUAGAAAAAAAAAAGAGAGAGGAAAGAGUGGAACCACAUUCAGGAGACAUCUGUGCUAAUAUUUGACCUGCGGAACUUCUUGAAAGAAGCAUCAUUUGAGAAGUCAGCCACAGCUAUUUUGAUAAAACUUGUUGCGUGGGCUGCAUCCAUAUAAUUCCACGUUCAAGAUUUCAAUCUAGAAAAGGAAUUGGUAACGUGUAGGGUCGCCAGCAUUGUUUCCGUACGUGAAGACUUUUGUGUAAGACUUGUGGUGGCCUUUGAUACGUCGACAGAGCAGUCUAUCAAAGUUUUUUUCAUAUAAAUUUUAUUUUGCUAUGACUGAUGAAUUUUAGCGGUAGCAAAAAUUAAGGUGGCCUGAAAGAGGCAUAUUGCAUGGCAUUAUAGUUAAGUUGCACAUCCUGAAUCAAUUCUUACAGAGGCAAGCCUCGGAGUUGUUUGAUUCCAUUAACAAUGUGCAUGCCGUCAAAACUUUUGCUGUAAAUUUCUGAUAAUAAUCUAGAAAAAACACAACGAGCUUGCUGUUCAAGUCUGUAAACAGAUUUAGCAUUUGCUUCAAGCUUCUGCAAGAAAGUACUUCCUCAUCGCCCGACGACUUGUGAAAUUGUUGCAUCAUCAACUGAACAAAUCUCUAAUUGCAAUUGCUCAGGUCUGUUUUUGUCAUCUUCAUCUGUCUUCACAGAAAAAGCAGGCCUUUUGGGAAUGGUCACAAUGGCAGUUUCGUUUUUGAGCAUUGAAGAAACUUCCACCAUAGACGGCCUAUCAAUAGGAUUUUCUUGGACACAUAGCAGUGCAAUUUGCAAGCAUUUGAUCAAUUUACAAGAGGACAACGUGUCAUCCAGCGAUGGGUCCAUGAUCUCCAUGCCUUUACCAUCUUUCCACAGCUCGUAAGCCUGCAAUUAACAAAAAUCACAAUCAUGCAUGACAAAUGCAAAAUCUAAAAUAUCGUCAGUUGUGUUAUCAAGAAACUUACAUAUUCUAGGAGGCUUAAAUUUUCACCAGAACCAUACAAGGACCAUUCUUCUUGCCGCUUAUGAUAUGCAGUAGUACCACUCCAAAACUGUAAACAUCAGAUUUUAUGGAAUACACGCCGUUUCUGACGUAUUCCGGAGGAACAUAACCGCUGCACAGGAUGAUUUCAUUCACAAUGUUAAGUUUUCAAAAAUAAUCUAUGUAUGAAAUGAACUUGUGCAUGCAUGAUGCUUACUAUGUCCCGACAAGCCGGCUAGUGUUUGCUUCUUGUUCAUCUUUCGUGAAAAUUCUAGCCAUACCAAAAUCAGAUAUCUUAGGCUUCAUAUCCCCAUCCAGUAAAAUGUUGCUGGCUUUCAAGUCUCGAUGGAUAAUUGUCAGUCUCGAAUAUUCUUGGAGGUAUAGAAGGCCUUGAAUUAUCCCUUCAAUGAUUUCUGCCCUUUUCUUCCAAUCCAACAAAUAUCGCCUAAUCGGAUCUGUCAUAUCAGAUAACAUGCAUAAGAAUGUCGGAAAUUGUAAUGCAAUGAAAGACUAGAUCACACUCAAAUCUUUUUUUAUUUCUGUAAAUCCAAGCAUAAAAGGAUGCUGAGUGCUAACCAUAUAGGUAACAGUCCAGGCUUUUUUUUGGCAUGUACUCAUAGACCAGCACCUUCUCUUCUCUGCCAACGCAAAAUCCCAAAACUUUCACGAGAUUUACAUGUUGUAAUCUUGCAGUGAGCAUAACCUCAUUCUUGAAUUCAUCAAAUCCUUGAGUAGAGGAUUUCGAAAGUUUUUUCACUGCUAUUUCUUGUCCACCUGGUAAAACACCCUGGAAAAACAGAAUGUCAUGCUAAUUUCUUUCACUCAAAGACUGAAAUCUGAAUGCUUGAAGAUUGCAAAGGGUUUAGAUUGCAGCAUUUAUAUUAUAUGCUAACUAUAUCUUCUCCUAUAUUUAAGCUACUGGAAAGUUAAAAUAGAAUUGAAGUCUAUCUCUAGUAUACGAGUUUAUCACAAUAUCAGUUUGCAAGUUAUCUUGAAUAUGCCUCCUAUAUCUUCCUGAUUCAACAGUUUGAAAGUUAUCUCCAGUAAAGAUAAGCAUGUCUUAUCCCUGCAAAAGAGAGAGAGUUUUCUAAAUGGCAGGAGACAGGCACUUAAUGACUCCAUUUUCACAAGUGGAACAUUUCUCUAGAAACGCUUACUCACAGUCCAUUCUUGCAAAUGGUUGCAUAUCUCCACGAAUCCUCAACAAAAUAUAGCAUCAUGAGUUGAAGAGUAAUGUCCCAUUGUAAUCUAUAAAGAAUAAUUAGUUAAUUGUAAACAGGGCCAAAUCCACCCUCCCCAAGCUUAUUUUCAAAUUCAAACUGGUAUGUAGCUUUCUCAAUAUCUGCCAAACUAUAUACUAUCAGAUCAGGAUUAUUGCUGUCGAAGUCGCCUGCUGCUGCCGCAUUAUUUACUUUCAACUUUGUUUCUUUACUCUUUGAUUUGAGGAUUCUAAUUCUUAUGAAAUAAAAUGCCAAGCCCAGUAGAAUAAUAACAGCAGCAGUUGUUGUCAAGAUGAUAAUCAAUGUAAGGGAUUUUGGUCGUCCUUCGUGUUUGGGAUCAACCCCUCCACCUGAGUCAACCCCCCCAGCUGAGUCAACCCCCCCAGCUGAGGACAUAAACAUAUUAUGUGAAUUAGUGAUCAGAAUUGUCUGUUUCCAGUAAAUUUUAAAAGAUUAUUCAAGAAUGAUUUAAAAGAAAAUGAUGCAGAUGUUUUGCAUAAAAAAAAAAAAAAUCACAGAUUAUUCAAGGAUGAUAAAUCAUUAUUUUUUGGCCGCCAGAUGGUACCAAUUGUCGAAUUUAUAUAGGCAGACAAUAUCCAACCAUCUAAACACACAAAAGAUUAAAAAAAACUGCAAGUAGGUACACAAUCCUGCAUUAUAUAUGACAAGCCUUAAUGACAAAUAGCUGAUGAUGGCCUUUUGGUUUUACCCUGAAGCAAGUAGGAAUUCAUAAGAAUUCAGAUAAAAAGAAUAUCUGGCAAGAUUCUCUAUAUAUUGCACCUUAACAAUCAAAUUAAUCAAUCAAGGCCAACCUCUUGACAUCAUUGUUAUCACGAUGGUCAAAGAACCAUUUUGUGGCUUAAGAACAUUCCCAUACCUGCUUGAGAGAGUACCCAGUUGUGAUCACCAGAAACUUCCCAUACAAAAUAUCCGAGGAGGGCCUUCUCCUUGGCAUAAGAAACCUUAGUUCUAACAACAUCAACACCAUCAAAACUAAUCCAAGUUGACCCUACGAUGCCGUAAUUUACCACAUAAGUGGAAUUGUAGAUAGGAUCAACUCUUCCGUUUGCUUUGAAAUAAUUAUUGAUAACUUUAUAGCUCAUGGAUCCAUCUUGUGUAACGGCUGGUCCUGUUGCUGGUGCGCCAAUGGCAUUUUCAUUCGGGCUUGCAAGUUUCCACGCAUAACCAUAGAAAGGCAAACCUAAAACCAACUUACUAGCCGGUAAUCCUCCAUUAAUCCAUGCUCUUAUUCCAAAAUCAGUGUUAACAUCACUAUCAGGAUCAUACAAAGCUGCAACAGCAGCAGUGUAGUUAGCCCAUGUAGGCAUGAAGUAGUCAAAAGCCAGCACAUGAGUCCAAUUCAAAUUCUUCCGUAUAGAGUCUAUAGGGAAACUCCCGGAAUCCAGUCUUGGCGAGUACCGAACGGCUGCUGUCAGGAUAAGUUCUGACAGGCUAGAGUUUCUUCCCUCCAAAGCAAUAGCAGCACGCCACUCUUCGAAGAGGGUACCCAUAAUGUCCAUGUUAUCGCUUGUGCUGGCCGAAACCCAGCUGAAGUCUAGCCCUUGAAAGCCAUAAUGCCUCGCUAUUUUUAUUGAGUCAUCUAUGAAAAACUUCCUGCAAGUAGAAUUGCCUGCCAUUGCAGAGAGUGUUGAAUAGUUUGCGCUUCCUCCUCCAAUGGAUAGUAAGGUAGUGAUCGAUGGAUUCUUCUGUUUUACGGUGUUUGUGAAGGCAGAGAAGAGUGGGUCAUCUGAGGAGGAGAUAGACAGGUGAUACGAAGAUGAAUUAAGGCCAGCAAAAGCACAAAUAAGGUGAGUAUAGAGGGUAGAAUUUAUGUCAGAAAUUGGGAGGUCACUGCCAGAAAACCAAUAGCCAGCUUUGAUCCAUGCUUGUGCUUUUGCAGGAUGCAAUUUUAAAGAGAGAAAUACAUGAAAGAGGAUGAUGAUAGUAAUUCUCGAUACCAUUGGAGCUUGCUUGAUAAAAAUACAAGGAAGGCAAAUGUACAAAGACAAAAGCAUGUAAAUGUUCCAGUCAGGACUCGGUUCUCAAUGCCACCGUUACCGCGUUCCCGUAUGUCACGGUUCCGCCAUGCUUUUUUAUUUUAUUUUUUAAAAACAUUUAAAUUAGUAUUUUUUUAAAUGUUUUUUAAUUGUCUUAAUUUAUUGAUUUCAAUAAUAAAAACAUUUUAAAAAAAAAUAUUAUUUUAAUAUAUUUUAAAAUAAAAAAUAUUUUAAAAAAUAAUAUUUACUAAACUAUCAAACUUGCUUUAAACUAGACUCCAUUAAAACUUUGUAUUUUCUAUUUUAAAAAAUAAAAUAAUUUUAGUUUUAUUUUAAAAUAAAAUUUUAAAAAAUGUUGUUAACUCAAAUGAAACUUAAUUAAGACACCUCAAUCGUUACCAAAUCGUUUUAGAAACUUGAAAUUGUAAUAACGGUGAUAGUUUAAAAUAUUUUUUGUUUAAAAAUAUAUCAAAAUAAAAAAAAAAAUAUUUUUUUAAAAAUAUUUUUGACAUUAGUAUAUUAAAAUAAUUUUAAAAAAUAUAAAAAAAUUUAAAUAUAAAUAAUUUUAAAAAUAUAGGUGUGUUCAGGAUGCAAUUUCAAUUUUAAAAUAUAAUUUCGAUAGAAAUAAUAGUUUUUCAAAAAUGUAUUAAUGAUAAUAAUAUUUUUUAAUUUUACCCUUCAAAUUAAAUCUAUGGUUGCUUUUCAAUAUUGAUAAUAAUAUUUUUCAAAUUUAUUGAUUAUUUUAUUAAUAAUAUUAUUUAAAAUACAAAUAAAAAUGUUUUUAAUAAUAAAAAUAAUAAUAUUUAUAGAACAAAUAAUAAUAUUUUUUAUAUUAAUACUUUUAAUUAUAAUACAAAUAAUAAUAUUUAGAAAUUUAAGACUCAAGAACCUUGGAUCCUAACACUGCACCCAAGAGAAUUGAAUCUUGAUGCAGGACCCAUUAGUCUUGGGUCGUGACAAUGGACCCAACAGAAUUAGAUCCUGACAAUGAAUCCAAGAGAAUUAGGUCCUGAAAAAGCACAUAAGAGAAUUGUGUACCGCGAUCGUGUUUGCAGACCCAAGGUGCAUGGGUCUUGCCAUAAUGACCAAUGCAUGGUAACCCCAGCGCCAGGUGUCUACACCCUCAGGCAUGCUAGGAUACAGGGCCCAACAUUGUUGGGUCCUAAUUUUAAGGCAGGGCCUAAAGAAUGUGCGUCCUUCUCGAGGUCGGGCCUAAUAUUGUUGAACGCAGCUACGACCUUCUGCUGAGGCAAGCCCAGAACACAUUAGCUUUAAGUCUUGUAACCAAGCAGGAUCCAAUAACGUUAGGCCUCAUUGUCCUAUUGGAUAUAAGAUCCAUGGCUAUUGGGUUCGGUUGUGUAUCAGCACCUAACACUAUUGGUUCCUACUGGGCAGCAAUUCCUACCUCCAGCAGGAAAUUUAAAUUUUAAAAAAUAUGUUGAGAUAAUUUUUUUAUUUUUUAAAAUAUAUUUUUUAUAUCAUCAAAUACAAAUAAUACAAAAACAUCAAAAAAAUAUUAAUUUAAAUUAAAUAAAAAUGUUAAAAAAUUGAAAAAACUUUAAGCAUUUUUUAAUCGAAAAAACAAACAUUCUUUAAUAAAAAAAUUCAACCCAACCUGAAAUGAAAAACAAUUAUCAUAACCCAUCUUUUGCACAAUAUAAAAAAAAAGUCUCAUUAAUUUAUUUCUUCUUUACCGUAUGAAAAAUAAAAUUAAAUCAGAGAAAAGAGAAGAAACCUUAGACCCAGUGAUAUUGGAAAUAUCCUAAAAUAUUUUUAAAAAAAAAACAUGUAUUGAGAUGAUAUUAUUUUUUUUUGUAAAAUCUAUUUUUUAUAUCAUCACAUCAAAAUAAUACAAAAACAUCCAAAAAUAUUUAUUUGAAGUAAAGAAAAAAAAUACCAAAUUCUUUUUAAACAUUUUUUGAAAAGCAAAAACAAACAUGUUUUAAUAAAAAAAUUCAACCCAACCUCAAAUGAAAAACUAUUAUCACCAGCCAACUUUUGUACAAUAUCAAAAAAGUCUCAUCAAUUUAUUUCCUCUUUACAGCAUGGAAAAAAAAUUAAAUAAGAAAAAAGAAAAAUAAUUUAAAGAUAAAAAAAAAUAAAAUUGAAAAUAUCUUAAAGAUGAAAAAAAAUUGGAAAUCCUAAACCCAAUGAUAUUGCCAAGCCAGACCCAAUAUCUAAAAAAAAAAAUUAGAAAUAUCUUAAAAUAUUUUUGUAAGAAAAUAUAAUGAAAUAAUAUUUUUUAUUUUGUAAAAUCUUUUUUUUUUAUAUCAUCACAUAAAAAUAAAAAAAAAAACAUCAAAAAAAUAUUAAUUUGAAUUAAAGAAAAAGGUUAAAAAUUUUGAAAUGAUUUUUUAAGCAUUUUUUAAACGAAAAAACAAACUUGUUUUAAUAAGGAAGUUUAACCCUAUCUUAAAUGAAAACAAAUUAUCAUCACCUAACUUUUGUACAAUAUAAAAAAUAUCUCACCAAUUUUAUUUUUUUUACCAUAUGAAAAAUAAAAAAAAUUAGAGAAAAAAAAAAUCACAAACCAAAUAUCCUUGGGUAUGGUUGCGCAGCCAAACCCAAGGAUAUUGGGUCUGGCUGCCCAACCAGGCCCAAGAUCGAUAUAUCUUUUGGAAUUGAUUUGGGUCCAACUGGCCAACCAAUCCCAACAUUAUUAUGUUAUAUUAGGCAACAAGAUCCAAUGUUAUUGACACCUUUUGGAAGUGUUUUGGGUCUAGCUUAGUAGCUGGUUGUAGGGUCCAGCGGCCAAGUCAUACCCAACAACUUUUGGUACAGAAGGUAAUGCCCCUAGCUGUAAUUCUUAACUAAAAAUGCAACUUCUUGACUAAAAACACAACAAAGGUAAUGCCCCUUUAGAGUGUUAUAGUGUCGUCUGCAGUGCAAUGUAUUUGUGUCCACAGUAAAUGCAUAAUAUUCCCACCCCCUGUGUUUUAAUACAUAGCAAAACCCAAACAAUGCAAUACACAAUUAAAUCACUCACAAUCUACAGUAAUUCACUAAUUGUUUUUAGGUUUUUUUAUAAUAUGAACACAUGUAAGUUGUGUGUGGAAAUUUAUGCCAUUUGAUUUUGCUAGUAUCAUAUUAGACCUGAUAAAGCUAUAAAAAUCACAGGGAAUAUUAUAGAAGAAAUUAUUUCUAGAGAUCCCUGUAGAUCAUUCAUAAUGUAUUCUACGACCUUCACUUUUCAGAUUGUAUCAGCUUCCUCUUUAAUAAAUAUCUUAUGGGGUUGUAAAUCUUCUCUUAAAUGAAUGCUUGCAUAAAGUCUUUUAGAGAUCCCUAACGGUGUUGCUAGAAGACCCUUCAAAGAUCGAGUCAGUACGAUGUAUUUUGUAUGAUAAAAAGAUAUUAGUAAAGGUAUUAAUGAGCUUUUGUAAAGAUAAAAAAGAAAAAGGAGAAGAAGAUGUAGAUGUAGAUGUAAGGGAAGAAGAGAAUAAAUGUGUUCAUGUCUAAGAGCAUAAGGUUUCGAACCCCUUUUUUGUGUACUCAAGCUUCCUUUUAUACUACAUGUCUUGACUUGCUUCAUACGAUAUGUUAGGGGUAGAAAUGUAAUCUCGUAAUGAUAGAAUAAUAUUAUUAUAUUGUUGAUACUAUCACAUCUCAUUAAUAUAAGCAUGAACUACUUGUUCAUAAUUAAUUGGAUGUGAUGAGUAUCAUAAUCACUAGCCCAGACCUAGAGUAAGGGAGGCUUAGAGUAAGGUUACUUUUCAGCUAUACGCUAAACUUAGAUGCAUUUGGGUUCAGUUUGUACAUUCAACUCAAGUGUAUUCGGGUUCAGCAGUACGCCAAAUUCAAUAGGAGUUGGGCUCAGCAUGACGUUGAACCCAAGAGGAAUUGGAUUCAGCGGUACGACGAUCUCAAUAGGAGUUGGGUUCAGCUUUAACCCGAACCCAAGAGAAAUUGGGUCCAAUUAUACACUGAACCCAAGAGGAAUUAGGCGCAUACAUGCCUCAUCCCAACUAGAGUUGGGCGUGAACUUGUCCUAACUCAACUUAGAGUUGGACGUGGAUGCAUCCGGGCCCAACUUUAAGUUAGGCAUGAACAUGUCACAGCUCAAUUUAGAGUUGAAGCUAAACGUAUUCUGCUCCAAUACAAGAUUGGGUGUAGAGAAAACAUAACUUAAUUUUAUAUUCAGAUUUUCAUGUGAUGUGAUGGUGGGAGGUUUUUAGAAAACCAUGACCCAUCAAGCCAUAGAGACCAAACAGCACGGCUGAGAGAAAAAGGCAGGCAAUUACGUGGAGAUGGAGUGUGGGGGCCAGGGUCAUAUCAAUUGCAAUUACUUCUUGGUAGGUUUUGUUUUGUUUCUUCAGAUUUCUAGAUUCAACAUUAAAGGUUCUUAUAAGAAAACAUUGCCAGCCCUCUUGUUUUCUUGGUCUAGCUUGGGCUAAAUGUCAAGGAAAGGGGUAGCUGUCUCCCUUAAUUUCUAGACUCAACAUCAAACGUUCUUAUAUAUAUAUAUAUAUAUAUAUAUAUAUAUAAAGUCCUAAUUUGGCCCCUUUUCAUUGUUCUCCUUCGCAGUUUUCUCAUGAUUUUGAGACAAUUUAAUCGCAAACCAACAUAGAGAUGCAAAAAUAGAAGUGCCCCUAGCUAGAUCAUUUGUAAUUCCAGAAAGGUAAGAAGUUAAUUUUGAAACAGUAAAUCUUUUUAAUUAGUGUGGCUUAUAUAUCCAUGUUUAAUAACUUACUUAAAUAAUUUUUUUAUAAUUAAAUGAUAGAAUAAACAUAUAUGUAGACAAUUAAUUUUAAAAUUAAUUGUUUAUAAUAGUGUUUUUCUUAUUUUGUUAAGCCAGGUGAUAUUUUAUAGUACUUUUUUAAAUAAAUAAGUAUUAAUUAUUAAUUGUUUCCAUAAAAAGUAUGAAAUAUUUAUCUUAAAUUAAUUUAUUAUCCUCUAUUUAUAAAUUAGAUGACCACAUGAGAAUUUUUUAUUUUUUUUGAAAAAGUGUAGGUUGAAGAAGACUUAAUUUGAUUUGAUCCGACAGAUAUAUGUAACUUUAAACCAUUAAUGUCUUAGAGAUCUACAAAUAUAAUAACUUAAAGUACACAAACUUAUCAUGGCUCAGAUAAUUGCAAUUUUACUACCUGAGACAUUUAUUUUUCUCAUUUCAGUAUAUUGUGUUUUUCAAUUUCACCAAAAAUAGAAUUUUCAAAUUAAAAUUCUUUGGUAAAAAUAAAUUCAAAUUAUGCAGCUCUUUGGUAAGAAGAAGACGAAGAAGAAGAAGAAGAAGAAGACAGUACUGUAAUAUCCGCAAUCAUUCAUUUUUGUCAUUAUCAACACUUAAACCUCCUUGUUGGCCAAUGCAAGAGAUAUUAAUACUAGUCGUUGGCCAUAUAAUUCCACGUUCAAGAUUUCAAUCUAGAUAAGGAAUUGAUAACUUGUAGGGUCGCCAGAAUUGUCUUAGUACGUGAAGACUUUUGUGUAAGACUUGUGGUGGCCUUUGAUACGUCGUCAGGAGCAGUCUAUCAAAGUUUUUUUCAUAUAAAUUUUAUUUUGCUAUGACUGAUGAAUUUUAGCGGUAGCAAAAAGGUGGCCUGAAGGAGGAAUUUGAGUCCUAGCAAAAAGGGAGAGCCGAACCCGAAUCUUUAUCGUUAAAUAUCACAACUAAAAUGCAAAUAUAUAAUCAUACACCUUUAUUUCGACAUUAUAACUUUACGUAUAGCAAGUUGUCCCAACACAUGAAGCCAGUGAGCAAAUUUAUUCAGAACUAACUGCUUAGUGGAAAGAGGCAUAUUGCAUGGCAUUAUAGUUCAGUUACGGAGUUGUUUGAUAAUAAUCUAGAAAAAACACAACGAGCUUUGCUGUUCAAGUCUGUAAACAGAUUUAGCAUUUGCUUCAAGCUCCCGCAAGAAAGUACUUCCUCAUCGCCCCACGACUUGCGAUAUUGUUGCAUCAUCAACUGAACAAAUCUCUAAAUGCAAUUGCUCAGGUCUGUUUCCGUCGUCUUCAUCUGUCCUCACAGAAAAAGCAGGCCUUUUGGGAAUGGUCACAAUGGCAGUUUCGUUUUUGAGCAUUGAAGAAACUUCCAGCAUAGACGGCCUAUCAAUAGGAUUUUCUUGGACACAUAGCAGUGCAAUUUGCAAGCAUUUGAUCAAUUUACAAGAGGACAAUGUGUCAUCCAGCGAUGGAUCCAUGAUCUCCAUGCCUUUACCAUCUUUCCACAGCUCGUAAGCCUGCAAUUAACAAAAAUCAUAAUCAUGCAUGACAAAUGCAAAAUCUAAAAUAUCGUCAGUUGUGUUAUCAAGAAACUUACAUAUUCUAGGAGGCUUAAAUUUUCACCAGAAUCAUACAAGGAGCCAUUCUUCUUGCCGCUUAUGAUAUGCAGUAGUACCACUCCAAAACUGUAAACAUCAGAUUUUAUGGAAUACACGCCGUUUCUGACGUAUUCCGGAGGAACAUAACCGCUGCACAGGAUGAUUUCAUUCACAAUGUUAAGUUUUCAAAAAUAAUCUAUGUAUGAAAUGAAUUUGUGCAUGCAUCAUGCUUACUAUGUCCCAACAAGCCGGCUAGUGUUUGCUUCUUGUUCAUCUUUUGUGAAAAUUCUAGCCAUACCAAAAUCAGAUAUCUUAGGCUUCAUAUCCCCAUCCAGUAAAAUGUUGCUGGCUUUCAAGUCUCGAUGGAUAAUUGUCUGUCUCGAAUAUUCUUGGAGGUAUAGAAGGCCUUGAGUUAUCCCUUCAAUGAUUUCUGCCCUUUUCUUCCAAUCCAACAAAUAUCGCCUAAUCGGAUCUGUCGUAUCAGAUAACAAACUAUCAAGGCUAUAAGCAUUUUAGAUCUUACUGACACGAACAUGCAUAAGAAUGUUGGAAAUUGUAAUGCAAUGAAAGACUAGAUCACACUCAAAUCUUUUUUUAUUUCUGUAAAUCCAAGCAUAAAAGGAUGCUGAGUGCUAACCAUAUAGGUAACAGUCCAGGCUUUUUUUUGGCAUGUACUCAUAGACCAGCACCUUCUCUUCUCUGCCAACGCAAAAUCCCAAAACUUUCACGAGAUUUACAUGUUGUAAUUUUGCAGUGAGCAUAACCUCAUUCUUGAAUUCAUCAAAUCCUUGACUAGAGGAUUUCGAAAGUUUUUUAACUGCUAUUUCUUGUCCACCUGGUAAAACACCCUGGAAAAACAGAAUGUCAUGCUAAUUUCUCAAAGACUGAAAUCUGAAUGCUUGAAGAUUGCAAGGGGUUUAGAUAAGAAGAAUUUUAAUGAGUAUUCGGUAUAUUUUCAUCACAACAGAAAAAGAAUUGUUACAUCAUUUAUAUUAUAUGCUAACCACAACUACCUCCUAUAUCUUCUCCUAUAUUUAAGCUACUGGAAAGUUAAAAUAGAAUUGAAGUCUAUCUCUAGUAUACGAGUUUACCACAAUAUCAGUUUGCAAGUUAUCUUGAAUAUGCCUCCUAUAUCUUCCUGAUUCAACAGUUUGGAAGUUAUCUCCAAUAAAGAUAAGCAUGUCUUAUCCCUGCAAAAGAGAGAGAGUUUGUUGGGAAAUCCGUCGACCGGUGAUGUACUGAUUAUUACUCAUAUGAAGGGUAAGCACACUGACACAAUAUUUUACGUUGUUCGGCAAAUCGCCUACAUCCACGGAAAAGACAAUAUUAUUAGUGAUAUAUAGAGAAAGGAUUACAACACACAUGGAGGAGGAGGAUCACUUCACUCACUCUACUCACUGCUCUUACAGCUGCAAUGGCUGCAGGGCUACUGCCCAUGGCAGCAGCUCUUUCUCUCCUCUUUCUCUUCACACUCUCUGCGUUCUCUCACUCUCUCAUUACUCUCAAAUAAUUAUGCCUCUUUUAUAGGCAUUUCAUGGUCAACAUGGAGGGGCCAAUACUGCCUUAAAACAUGGCAUGAAUUAUGGCAUAAUUCAUGCUCCCACUUGUACAAGUUGUAGUGGAGUAGUUACCACAAUAAUGACAACUUCCUAACAAUCACCCCCUUUGCCAUUUAUGUGGGCAGUUGUCCUCUUGAUUCUUCAGCAUAAGCUUGCAUCUUGCAGCUCUUCCACGCUUACCAUUCUAAGAGCGUCUGUGGCCAAGUUUACAGGUACUCGCGCAACCUUUCAAUCACCAGAGUCACCAAAGCACACCCUUGCUUACACCAAAGGAUCACUUCAACCAGAUGGUCUCACACAUCACAUCUGAAGAGUGUUCGCGUUUGUCUCUAGGAUACAACAUUCCCCUUUGAGCGUAUCAUCCAUGCUCGGUCCGGAAUGAUUCACCAAGCCUCACACCAAGGCUUACAACACCCCCUCAAACGGAUAUUCCAAGUGCGACAAUCAUUAUCUGAGUAUCUCAAUAUGAUCACUAGCUCACCACUCUUCUAAGAGUCUACUCAUCCUGGAGUUGCGCCUGCCCUCUGUUCCACCGUAGGAACCACACCUUACUUCUCCGUGAGUCUCUCACUCUUAGUCUCAAGAGUCCAGGUAGCUAUCCACCUUUAACCAUGGGGGCAGCCCAUUAAAGGUUGAUCCAUAUAUGUCUUGAUACUGUGAGUAUUACAAUGCCUUCACCGAGCUCACCACCUUGACAAGAGUCGACUUGUUCCCGGAACCUGCGCAUGCCCUCUGCUCCUUCAUAGCAGUCGCGUCUUAAUGCUCCACAAGUCAUCCACUUAUUGUCCAAGACAAAUGUCUUCUAGCUCAUUGAUCUUUAGCAUGGGGACAAUAUCCAUGAAAGUCAAUCCUGCAUUUGUCUCCAUACUCAUCAUAGUCACUCCAUUGACUAUACACCUAUCCACUUAUGUCUAGCCAUCACAUUGGCUCUAGGGCGUUCUGAACUGGGGCUCCUAUCCUGGCCCUCACACCUUCCUCUAAGGUGUCUCCGCCUGUUGUCAUGGGGCGGUCUCAUCCUCCUUCAUCGGGAUGACUCCAGUGGCUCCAAGAUUCUCUACCACCAUGUGGACUUGGGAGAGAUUACUGCCACUGAUUAUAUAGAAAGAGAAAGUUGCGGCAUACUCCUCGCAAGAUGGGGCGGUCUCAUCCUCCUUCAUCGGGAUGACUCCAGUGGCUCCAAGAUUCGCUACCACCAUGUGGACUUGGGAGAGAUUACUGCCACUGAUUAUAUAGAAAGAGAAAGUUGCGGCAUACUCCUCGCAAUCCUCCACCUCGAUUUCUAUGUAUGGAGCUUCUACGCCUUUCUACUUGACAGCUCCACCUACACCAAUUCUCUUUGAUGUCUUCGCCUUUCAUCAUAGGUGUUUGCACCCCCUCAAUUAGGUGCCUCUACAACAGCUCAUCUUUCCAUCCUUGCAUGCAUUGGAAAGGUCCUUGCUUGUUGCCUUUAUCAAGAGCACAAGAGACUUCCUGUUGUACAUCCUUCACAUAGUCUCUGCUCUGAGCUUCAUCUGGGAACUCUUCUUCUCCUUGCACUUAUUGUCUCAUAACAGUACCUCGUUGGAUCCUUCGGGUACUCUUGCACAAUCUCCGUGUGCCCUCGUGCAAUUUCUGUUCUCCAGAUUUCUCCAUAUUCCUUGCUUAUGUUUGACAGCAGCUCAUCCCGUCACAACACCUGACCAAGUCAAAAUAGGGUGUCAAUCUUUAUCCCCUUGCUGUAUUUCUCUUCCAUUAUCAGGGUCUUCAUCAAUCUCCCCUCGAGAAAUUAUAGUCACCGAAUCUAACUUCUUUGGAGAAAUCACCACUCCAUCAGAUCCUUGAUCAUACGGAACCCAACUGUUCCUUUGUGCCGUCGUCUUGCUAGUCUUCAACAGUUUCAUAACAAACUGUUACAUAUACGAAAAUAGUACCGUAUGGAUAAUCCUUCCACUAAGCAAGUUCCCAGGAAAGAUUGGAGGGGUCACACUCCUAAACAGAACUUCUUAGGCCAUAUCUAUCCAUUGUAUUGUCUUUUUGUAUAUACAACCAUUUGCUAGCUUUGUUGCGGCUUUCCUUUACAAGUGAUCUGGGUAUCCUGGUUUCAUACCUGAUUUCUCAACAUCUGGCGAGACUACCGGUGCUUAGAUUCAUCAAGAUUGGUCUUCGUCAAUUUUCACUCUCCACCUCUAAUUGUCCAUAUGACCAGGUGUCCAGAGUGUCCCAAUUUUACCUUCCAUCAAGGCAAUAAAUUUCCCCAUUUAGUAGUUCAGCACAUGUAAUUGGGCAAACAUGUGCACCUUCUUUUUCUUCAUCUCCAUCGACCUCAAUCCAGACCCUCAGAUGCCUCCUGAUCGGGCAAUCUAUCAUUAAUAAUACACCACUGCCAUUUUUGGUCUCGAAUUUCAACGAUCGGAUCGUACCAUUGCAUCCGGAAUGAUCAAAUUAGCUGGAAACAUGUCUUGAAUCGUCCAAAUCGCACUUCAGACGGCUAAGAUUUGAUCAAAACAAUUUUGCCCUAAUUAACGGCUCAGAUUCAAUCUCAGCUUUGGUUGCACGUAGGAUCAGCUACACUGGAUCCUAUCCCUCGGCUCGGCUCCAUCAGCUCGGCUCCACUUGGCUCAGCUCCAUCGGCUCGGCGCACGCUGCUGACAUGGCAUGUGGGCCCACUAUGUUGACGUCACCAUUACAUCAUGCUGAUGUCAUCAUGGGCCAUGCUUACUGUGCAUGAUGACAUCACAAAUACAUCAUGCGGAUGUCAUCCUUAUUCGGGUCAGCCACGUGGGUCGGGUCGGCCCGAGCGAAGAAGACGCGUGUGACACGUGGCGCAAGUCUGCGCGUGUGGGCAGCGACCUCGUCGGCGCGUGAAGAAGAGUCCGACCUCUGAUUUCGACGUCGUAUUCACCAGUGGCUUCGUCUCUUCCUCCUCUACACGGUGGUAUGGUCAAAACACAAUUUUGGCAACUUUAAUUUUUUAGCAAAAAUCAAACACCACUUAAACCAUAUGCUCUGAUACCAAUUGUUGGGAAAUCCAUCGACCGGUGAUGUACUGAUUAUUGCUCAUAGGAGGGGUAAGCACACUGACACAAUAUUUUAUGUGGUUCAGCAAAUCGCCUACAUCCACGGGAGAGACAAUAUUAUUAGUGAUAUAUAGAGAAAGGAUUGCAACACACAUGGAGGAGGAGGAUCACUUCACUCACUCUACUCACUGCUCUUGCAGCUGCAAUGGCUGCAGGGCUACUGCCUAUGGCAGCAGCUCUUUCUCUCCUCUUUCUCUUCACACUCUCUGCGUUCUCUUACUCUCUCAUUACUCUCAAAUAAUUAUGCCUCUUUUAUAGGCAUUUCAUGGUCAACAUGGAGGGGCCAAUACUGCCUUAAAACAUGGCAUGAAUUAUGACAUAAUUCAUGCUCCCACUUGUACAAGUUGUAGUGGAGUAGUUACCACAAUAAUGGCAACUUCCUAACAGAGUUUUCUAAAUGGCAGGAGACAGACACUUAAUGACUCCAUUUUCACAAGUGGAACAUGUCUCUAGAAAUGCUUACUCACAGUCCAUUCUUGCAAAUGGUUCCAUAUCUCCAUGAAUCCUCAACAAAAUAUAGCAUCAUGAGUUGAAGAGUAAUGUCCCAUUGUAACCUAUAAAGAAUAAUUAGUUAAUUACCUUGUAAACAGGGCCAAAUCCACCCUCCCCAAGCUUAUUUUCAAAUGCAAACUGGUCUGUAGCUUUCUCAAUAUCUGCCAAACUAUAUACUAUCAGAUCAGGAUUAUUGCUGUCGAAGUCGCCUGCUGCUGCCGCAUUAUUUACUUUCAACUUUGUUUCUUUACUCUUUGAUUUGAGGAUUCUAAUUCUUAUGAAAUAAAAUGCCAAGCCCAGUAGAGUAAUAACAGCAGCAGUUGUUGUCAAGAUGAUAAUCAAUAUACGGGAUUUUGGUCGUCGUUCGUGUUUGGGAUCAACCCCUCCACCUGAGUCAACCCCCCCAGCUGAGUCAACCCCCCCAGCUGAGGACAUAAACAUAAUAUGUGAAUUAGGGAUCAGAAUUGUCUGUGUCCAGUAAAUUUUAAAAGAUUAUUCAAGGAUGAUAAAAGAUUAUUCAAGAAAGAUUUAAAAGAAAAUGAUGCAGAUGUUUUGCAUAAAAAAAUGUAAUCACAGAUUAUUCAAGGAUGAUAAAUCAUUAUUUUUUGGCAGCCAGAUGGUACCAAUUGUCGAAUUUAUAUAGGCAGACAAUAUCCAACCAUCUAAACACACAAAAGAUUAAAAAAAACUGCAAGUAGGUACACAAUCAUGCAUUAUAUAUGACAAGCCUUAAUGACAAAUAGCUGAUGAUGGCCUUUUGGUUUUACCCUGAAGCAAGUAGGAAUUCAUAAGAAUUCAGAUAAAAAGAAUAUCUGGCAAGAUUCUCUAUAUAUUGCACCUUAACAAUCAAAUUAAUCAAUCAAGGCCAACCUCUUGACAUUAUUGUUAUCACGAUGGUCAAAGAACCAUUUUGUGGCUUAAGAACAUUCCCAUACCUGCUCGAGAAAGUACCCAGUUGUCAUCAUGAGGGACUUCCCAUACAACAUAUCCGAGGAGGGCCUUCUCCUUGGCAUAAGAAACCUUUGUUCUAACAACAUCAACACCAUCAAAACUAAUCCAAGCUGACCCUACGAUGCCGUAAUUUACCACAUAAGUGGAAUUGUAGAUAGGAUCAACUCUUCCGUUUGCUUUGAAAUAAUUAUUGAUAUCUUUAUAGCUCAUGUAUCCAUCGUUUGUAACGACCGGUCCCGUUGCUGGUGCGCCAAUGGCAUUUUCAUUCGGGUUUGCAAGUUUCCACGCACAACCAUAGAAAGGCAAACCUAAAACCAACUUACUAGCUGGUAAUCCUCUAUUAAUCCAUGCUCUUAUUCCAAAAUCAGUGUUAAGAUCACUAUCAGGAUCAUACAAAGCUGCAGAAGCAGCAGUAAAGUGAUCCCGUGUAGGCAUGUAGUAGCCAUAAGCCAGUACAUGAAUCCAAUUCAAAUUCUUCCGUAUAGAGUCUAUAGGGAAACUCCCGUGAUCCAGUCUUGGCGAGUACUGAACGACUGCUGUCAGGAUGAGUUCUGACAGGCUAGAGUUUCUUCUCUCCAAAGUAAUAGCAGCACGCCACUCUUCGAGGAGGGUACCCAUACUGUCCAUGUGAUCGCUUGUGUUGGCCGCAAGCCAGGUGCAGUCUAGCCCUUGAAAGCCAUAAUGCCUCGCUAUUUUUAUUGAGUCAUCUAUGAAAGACUUCCUGUAAGUAGAAUUGCCUGCCAUUGCAGAGAAUGUUGAAUAGUUUGUGCUUCCUCCAAUGGAUAGUAAGGUAGUGAUCGAUGGAUUCUUCUGUUUUACGGUGUUUGUGAAGGCAGAGAAGAGUUGGUCAUCUGAGGAGGAGAUAGACAGGUGAUACGAAGAUGAAUUAAGGCCAGCAAAAGCACAAAUAAGGUGAGUAUAGAGGGUAGAAUCUAUGUCAGAAAUUGGGAGGCCACUGCCAGAAUACCAAUAGCCAGCUUUGAUCCAUACUUGUGCUUUUGCAGGAUGCAAUUUUAAAGAGAGAAAUACAUGAAAGAGGAUGAUGAUGAUAGUAAUUCUCGAUACCAUUGGAGCUUGCUUGGUAAGAAGACAAGGAAGGCGAAUGUAGAAAGACAAAAGCAUGUAAUGUUCCACUCAGGACUCAGUUCUCAAUGCCACCGUUAUAAAGUCCCCGUAUGUCCCGGUUCAGCCAUGCUUUUUUAUUUUAUUUUUAAAAAAAAAUAUUAAAUUAAUAUUUUUUUUAAUUUUCUUAAUUUAUAGAUGUUAAUAAUAAAAAAAUAAUUAACAAAAUCUUAUUUUAUAUAUUUUCAAAUAAAAAAUAUUUUAAAAAAUAAAUCUCUACUAAACUCCGGAACAUGCUUUAAACCAGACCCCAUUAAAAUUUUAUAUUUUUUCCCUUAAAAAUAAAAUAGUUUUAAUUUUAUUUUAAAAUAAAAUUUUAAAAAAUAUUGUUAACAGAUGAAACUUAAUUUAGACGCCUUAAUCGUUAUCAUCUUAAUCCAGUUGAUGAACGGGACCAGAAAAUAAAGUGAAAUAAACCAAACACCAUUAAAUUGCUUUGUCCUUGUCCUUGACAAGUCAAUUAAUAUCAAGGACAAUAAACCAAACACCACUAAAUUGCUUUGUCCUUGUCCUUGACAAGUCAAUUAAUAUCAAGGACCCAGAUAUUGACAAUACGCGGUUUGUUUUUUAAAGAAAGUCUUUCAACAAAUAAAAUUAGAUAAUUUAAAUUUAAAAUCUAAUUUUAUUUUGUUUUGAGAUAUUUGUUAAUAAUUUACCUAUGUUUAUAUAUAUAUAUAUAUAUAUAUAUAUAUAUAUAAUUCUAUCAUGUUUGCUUUUUUUUUUCUCAGAUCUGUUAGUUCUAUCAAUUGAUUUUUUGAAUUCUUGUUAUAGUGAUUUUUUUUCUAAUUAAUUAUAUAUAUUUUAUUAGUUUGUUUUGAUUAUGGUUGGAUUUUUUAUAUAUAUUUUAUUUUUAGUAAAGUCAUCAAAAUUAUCAAUUUUUUCCUUACAAUAUAUAUUUUAUUUUAGGUUGAAUCAUGAACAAAAUAAAGAAGAAUUGAUUAUUUUUUUUAAAUCAAUAUUGAUAACUCACAACCUAUUAAACGAGCUUUUUCAGUAAUAAAUAUUGUUAUAACAAGACUUCGCAAUGUCUGGGUCCUAUAUAUACACACACACAGAUAAGAACCAAGGGAUUAUGAAAAUGAAGGUCAAUUUUUUAGGUUUGUUUUAUAUUAAUUAUAUGUUCUAUUUUUUUAUAAUAAAAUUUAUAUAAUUAUUAAUUUUAAAAUUUAUAAAAUUAAUUGAGACAGGUACAAAUUCAUCUUGACACCAACUAAAUAAAAAAUAUGAAAACGAAAAGAUUGACAACUCGUUAUUAUACUUAUUUCUCGUUGGUACAUGUUUUGGAUGGUUGUGCUUAUCCUGACAUUGUUGGAAGUUGAAGGAAUAAGUCAGCUAUUUUGACCAUUGGUGAUUGGUUUACAAGAAAAGUAGGCUAUUUGACUAUUAGUGAUUGUGAUUUAUUACAUGCCGCUCAAAGUGCGUCGGUGUUGAGCACUAAACUUUAACACUAUUCUUUUUGUAUAGUAUUUAAAUUAUUUAAUUUAAAAUUUUCAGCCUAUUAAAAUGAUUAAAAGUAUAUAUUUUAAAAUCAUUAAUUUAAUAUUUUUUAAGCAAAAUAUAUAAAAAAUACAAAGUCUCUCUCUGUGUAUAUAUAUAAUAACUGUUGGUGUCCAUACUAACUUAUACGUAUCUUAACCAAUCCUCUAAGGUAUUGAAGUUAACGAUCAGGUAAAUUUCUAGUGAUAAUGAGAUUUAUAACACUUAAAUUAAUAAUUUUUAAAAAGAUAAAUUUAAAAUUUAACUAUAUUCCCUAAAAUUAUUAUCUUGAUGGUACUAGAGGAAUAGGUAAAUAACCAUUACCCUGAUACUCUUAGGGUAGAUGAUGAUCAGGAUGAUGUCCCUACUAUGCAGUUGAUAACUGCAAGGCAGAGAAGGAGACGUGGUGCACCCGUGCCUCAAUAUGUUGAUGAGGUACCUCCACCAGUGGAGGAAGAGCCUCAGGAGAUAGAAGAGGAAGAUAUGGUUGAUGAAACAGGUGUGGGGUAGCUGACCCUGAGCCUGUUACAGAGGUUCAGCAACUUAGCCAGGUUGUGUAGACUUGGAUAGAGUUUACUAUGAAGAGAGACAUAAUGAGGGAUAGAGAUGUACCCUCGACAUCCCACACUGUUCAGGGAGUUAAUGUGCCAUUGAAUGACUUUAUGAAGUUGGCACCUCCUAUUUUUACUGGGAUAGACAGUUCAGAGGAUCCUCAGAGGUUCCUAGAUGACAUUUGGCGACGGUGUGAAGCUUUGGGAUGUACAGACCACCGAGCUGUGAGUUUGGCAUCGUUCAGGUUGGAAGGAGAUGUGGCAAUCUCUUGGUUUGAGUCUAGGAAAAGAGCAAGACCAGUAGAGACUCAAUGGACAUGGAAGGAGUUUAGCUGCAUGUUCUUAGACAGGUUUCUCCCUCAGAGCAUCAGGGAUGCUCGACUUUAUGAGUUUGAGAGGCUAUCUCAAGGGAGCAUGACAAUGGAUAAGUAUGAUCUGAAGUUUACUCAACUAUCUAGGUAUGCAGAACAUCUUCUACCCACUAAGGAGUGGAGGGUGAAGAGAUUCAUUAGAUGACUCAAAUCCUCUAUGUAUAUGGUAUUGGCGCCACAAGUGUUUUCAUCCUACUCCUCAGCUGUUGAUAGCGCCAGAUUGCUAGAGACGCGUGAAAUAGAUGACAUGACUACUGGCCAGUCUAAGAGGCCUAGAGAAAAGGGUCAGUCUUUUAGGCAAGAAGGAUUAAGUACAGGUUCGUCUAGGGGACGAAGUGGCUGUCAGGGCUCAUGGGUUCAGAGGAGGUUUAGACAGAGACCGUCAGGUAGUGGCUCAAGCGGUCAGAGUGGCAGUAGUGGUACCCAGAGUUUAGUUCAGACUGCACCUCGUAGUUCAUUUGUUUCAUCUGGGGAUAGUUCUUUGUGCCAGCACUGUGGAGGAGGUCAUACUAGUGCAGAGUGCUACAGAAGGACUGGGGUUUGUUUUAGUUGUGGCCAGAUAGGUCAUAAGAUUAGAGAGUGCCCGAGGAGACAGUUGUCCACUUCGGGGUUAUCUGCUUCAGUCCAGCAUCCUAUUCAGGCACCAUCGACGAGCCAGUCUGUGGCUCAUGGGGGUAGAGGUUUUGGUGGCCGUGGUCAAGAGGUCGGGGUGCAGGUGAUAGAGGUCAGAUACAGCAGGGUCAGGGGCAUGCCAGAGUUUUUGCCUUGACUCAGCAGGAUGCUCAGGCAUCCAACACAGUUGUUUCAGGUAUUCUUCCUGUUUGCUCUUUUGAAGCAAAAGUUUUGUUUGAUACGGGUGCAACUCAUUCGUUUGUGUCCCUAUAUUUUGCCAUGAGGUUAGAUAAACAACCAACCUUGUUAAAAUCCCCCAUUUCAAUCUCCACUCCCUUAGAUGAGUUAAUAUUAGUAAAGUAUGUGUAUCUGGAUUGUGAAAUAGAGAUUGGAGAUAAGAUCUUUAUGGGAGACUUAAAUGUUUUAGAUAUGGUUGAUUUUGAUGUGAUUUUAGGAAUGGAUUGGUUGGCGAAGCAUAGGGCUUUGGUAAAUUGUUGGGGUAAGAAAAUAAUGUUUGAUCUAGAUGAAGAAGUUGGGUUGGUAUUUCAAGGAGAUAAGAUUAGGUCUCCAUCAAUUAUGUUGUCGGCUAUCUCGAGGAAAAUGGCCCGAAAAGGGGUACAGUGCUACCUAGCAUAUAUAGUGGAUGUAGAGAAAGAAGUUCCCCUGUUAGAUGAAGUCCCUAUAGUUAGAGAGUUUAUCGAUGUCUUUCCUGAUGACUUACCUGGAUUGCCUCCGUAUAGGGAGAUUGAGUUUUGUAUUGAUUUGGUUAGGGGUGUUCAAAAUAACCGAUUAACCGAGAAAACCGACAAAACCGAAAAAAAUUAACCGAAAAAACCGAACCGAAAGUAAAAACAGAUUAAACCGAUUUAAAAAACCAUAAAUGUUAACAGGUCCGGUUUGGUUUCGGUUUUGACCCAGAAACCGAGCCAAACCGAACCGGACCCAUUAAACCAUUAAAAAUAAAAAGUACUAUAAAUAGUUAAGUUAACCUGGCCUACCUCUCUAACCCUAACAUAUUCUCAUCUCAGCCAUCUUCAUCUUCCUUCCCAUUUUCAACAAAAACCCAAUCUUCCUUAAUAUUUAAUUCACAAUCUUCCUUUUCCAGAAACCUUCUUCAUUGAAGCAACGACAGUAAGGUAAACGACUAAAUUCUAUCUUCUUUGAUUCUUUGUUUCAUGGGUUUGAAUUUUGAAAGUAUUUUCUAAAUUUCCAAGUCUAUUCCAUCUUCAUCUUCAUAUUUUUAUUUUCCAGAAAUCAUCUCCAUCUUCAUCUUUCCCAGAAACUGUCUCCAUCUUUCAGGCGUCUUCAUUUUAACAACAACAGCAAGGUAAAUUUCAUCUUCAUCUGUGAUUCUUUGUUUAGUGACUAAACCCCCAAACCCAUACAAAGUACGACCUUGCCUCUUAAGAGCAUAGACAACAUCCAUGACAGUGACAGUCUUGGGCCACAGGCUAGACAAAUAAGACUUAAAUCUGACUCACCAGAAGAGGAAUCGUUGUUUGCUAGCCUGUGUAAUAAUAAGAGCCCCCUUCCCUGAUUCCGAUCCUGUUGAUGUUUUGUGCUUAGAGUGGGCGAGCUAGAAUCCUUAUGUCAGGUUGGUUGUUCAAAAGACACCUUAUUGUCUCAUGAGUCCCGUGUUCUAAGCAGCUCUUGCGCUCUCAAUCCCGUUAUCGGAAGAACUUCCCCCCUUUCCCCAGCAGUAGAUUCUUCUUCAAUUGCUAACGAUGCCCAUUCACUAGGAAAGGGAUUCCUAUUGAGCUUGACUUUAUAAAGAUUCUUUCCUAGGAACAUAACUUUCGGCCACAAAAUUGAGAAAAGAAGCUAGGUGCGGCCCUCCAUCCAUGUCCUUCCUCUCCCUUUUCCUCCCAUGCUCCUUAAGCCACCCGUUAAUUAAUGUAUAAAACUAAUUAGAUGAUCAAAAAGACCUUCACAGUUCACAUGCAUAUAUAUUUCUGUUGGUGUACUGUCGGGUGAUGAGCAAAAGUAACAAUUACGUGGCAAUGGCAUGGAUAAGACAGCAAUAUUUCGCUAGCUUUAUGCAAAUCCUCGGUGAAGAAAUAAGAAUAUCCUGGGAACCCUGUGCUAUGAUCACAACCGUUGAUAUAUUCCCACGUCAUUCCAAACAUUUGCAUAAUUCUCUUACAGAUCAAAACUCGGCCAUUAAAGCAAACGUGACAUGGCUUACUAACUGUGCCCAAUGGGGGUGAAUCCGCUAUUGAAUCAUCCGCCGAGAGGAGCCCAGUGAUCAUUUGAAGAAAGCCCCAAACCUGACGUCAAGGUUAUCCAAGACCUAACUAAACUUAUACUCUAGUUACAUACACAGGCGCUCUGGCAUAAGUAUAUGCAUCUCCGUGUGGAUCAUACCCGAAGUAGGACUUUUUUCCUGACCCCUGAGCGUCUUAGAAUAGAACCCCGAAUUUAUUAUUUUUAUUAAGGAAGGGUCACGCCCCGCUCGUCGGGAACCCGAGCUUUGCCAUUAAAGAAAGUGUUUUUUUGUUUUGUCUUCGUGCACCGAUUAAAUUGAGCAUAAAUUGAUGGAAUAUUGGACGUCUGCUGCAAUAUUUAAACUGUGCUAAAGGCAGAUGAUGAUGCAGAGAUGACUAGUUUCUUCUUGUUUCUUUGGUUCUUUUUCAUUUUUCAAAUCGAUGGAAAGAGUUUGUUAUUAAAUUGAGCAUGUUCGAAUGACUGUUUUGUUUUGUUUCAUGCUUUCCAUUUUGUUCUGUUCUGUUUUGUUUCAUGCUUUCCAUUUUGUUGACUAUUGCAUUUUCUUUUCCAGAUGUAAAUAUAUGUUUUGUUUGUUGGGUCUUCUACUGGAAUGUACGACAGAAUUGUUUGAUUGAUGUUGUUGUUGGUUUCUUAAUUUCAGAUGGCUAAUCGGGAAGAUCCUACACCAAUUGAAUCAAAUCCUUCAAGUUCGGAACCCAAUUCUUUUCCUAUUCCAAUUCCAAUUCUAGUUGCUACUUCUAGUACAAAUAGCAACACUGAAAGUGAAGGUAAUCCAGCCUCUAGAUCAAAUAAAAGAAAAACAUCUCAAAUUUGGGAUCACUUUAAAAAACUAGAUGGUAAUGUUAAGGCUCCUAGGGCUGCAUGUAUAUAUUGUGGAAAAGACUAUGCAUGUCAUACUAUACUCAAUGGGACUAGUAACAUGUGGAGUCAUCUAAAUAUAUGCAAAAAAUUUCCUUUUUUGAUUGAUCGAAAACAAAAAAAUUUAGUCUUAGAACCUAAGCCUAUAAUAAAGGGGGGUAAUAAUGGAGAGGAAAAUAUGGUGACUGUUAAGGCGGUGGGUUAUAGUUAUGAAGAGUGUACGCAAGCCCUAGGAAAAAUGAUUAUACUUGAUGAGCUACCAUUUAACUUUGUUGAAAACCAAGGAUUUAAAUCAUUUUGUCAAGUAAUGCAACCUAGAUUUGAUGUUCCUUCUCGUUUGACGAUUUAGAGAGAUUGUUUGAAAAUUUUUGUAGUUGAGAAAGAAAAAUUAAAGAAAGCUCUUAAGGAUCAACGUGUAUGUUUAACAACCGAUACUUGGACAUCAAUCCAAAAUAUUAAUUAUAUGUGUUUGACUGCCCAUUGGAUUGAUGAAGGUUGGAACUUGAAUAAAAGAAUUUUAAACUUUUGUCAAGUUUCUAAUCAUAAAGGUGAAACGAUUGGCCAAGCAAUUGAGAGUUGUUUGUUGGAAUGGGGAAUUGAUAACAUUUUAACUGUUACAGUAGAUAAUGCAAGUUCAAAUAAUUUGACAAUAAAAUAUUUGAAGAGAGUAACAAGUAAUUGGGCAACUAAUAUAUUGUCAAAUGACUUUAUGCAUGUUAGAUGUUGUGCAUAUAUUGUUAAUCUUAUUGUAUGUGCGGGAUUGAAAGAUAUUGAUGAUUCAGUUGUUAAGAUUAGGAAUGCAUUGAGGUUUGUUAGAUCUUCUCCUUCUAGACAACUUGUUUUUAACCAAUGUGCCGAGAGGUUGAAAAUUAGGAGUAAAAAAUAUGUUUGCUUGGAUGUUGCAACUAGAUGGAACUCUACAUAUAUGAUGCUAGAUGCGGCUGAUAAUUUUACAAUUAAGGUUAAAGAUACUUUGCUAAGGUUGUUUGAGCAUUAUAUGAAUGUUGAUGAGAAUGAUGAGGUGGUUUAUAGUGUUGUAACUAGUAUAAAUGAAAAUGUUAAUGUUGAUUUAAUGGCGGUAAAUGAUGAUAUGUUGGAUGACUUGGCUACUGAAUUCAAAAAACAUUUAGAGGAAGAAGGGGGUGCCUAAAAAAAAAAUGAGGUUGAGAGGUAUUUGAGUGAUGAUUGUGAGGAUCCUAAUGAUUUUAAAUUAGAUAUUUUAGGUUGGUGGAGAUGUAAUGCUACAAAAUACAAGAUUCUUUCUAAGGUAGCACAACACGUGUUAGCUAUUCCAGUAUCUACAGUUGUUUCUGAAGCGGCUUUCAGUACUGGUGGUCGUAUUUUAAAGGAUGAUUUUAAGGGAUAUAACUGAGAUGAUUAGAUUUUAAAUAUUUUUUAAAAAAAUUAUUAAUUUAAAUUUUAUAAAUUUUAAAAUUACUAGAGACUUAUAUAAUUAUUAAUUUUAGAACCUGUAUAAUUAGUUAAGAUAUACACAAAUUGACUUGUACAUCCAUGUUAAUAAAAAAAAAAAAAAAUUGUACGAGAGCUACAAAAAUCACCAAUCCAGAUAUUAACAUUUGUCAUAUAUAUAUAUAUAUAUAAAAAAAAAUUCUAACACUAACACACGUUCUUCGCAUUAUUCUUAAUAUCCACCAGAGUAGAAUUGAAAUUUCUACACUACAUACAAAUUGCACCCACUUUUUCUAGAGUUAUAACGGUGGUUGUGGCGGUGGCUGUUGCUAUGAUUAUGGUUGAAAAUAAAACAUUUAAUUAAUAUGCAUGGUUGAAGGUGAUUCAUUAAUUAAAAUUUUAAUUUUAAUUAUUAUGUAUAUAUUUGAUUUAAAAGAGUGUGCACUCAUAUAACAUUACAUUGUUUUGUAUUAUUAAUGUUUGGUAUUUUGGUGCGAGGUACUUUUCAAAAAUAUUAUUUUCUUGAAAAUGUGCUAAAAUAAAUUAUUUUUUCAAGUUUAUUUUAUUAAAAAACAUAUAAAAAAAAUUACCGCAAUUCUAAACACUUAAAAUAACACAAAGAAAACAAUGGAAAUGCUCCAAGGCUGUAUUUUGGACGUGGAUUUUGUCAAUGAAUCAUCUCAAUCUAAAAACUUAAACUUUUAAUUGAGGUCUCAGGAUAUGAUUUAUAUUAUUCUCUAACACAUCCUCUCAAGUGAAAGUUUUUUGGGCUUGAAACUUGCACAGACCAACAUUACCUUGUGGUUGAUUUUUAUCAAAUAAAUGGAGGUGAUAAGAUUUAAACUCGUGACCACUUGGUUAUUAAGGCUAUGAUACCAUGUUAAAGAACCAUCCCAACCUAAGAACUUAAACUUUUAAGUGAGGUCUUAAGACAUGAUUUAUAUUAUUAUCUAAUAGAUUUAAUUAAAAGUCUAUAUAAACUCUGUUCUUGUAAAUUAGUAACCAAAUAGAAAAGAUAACAACAUUUACUUACUAAAAAUAUAUUUUUAUAUGUUUCUUGUUUUAGAAACAUAUAAAUUUAUUUCAAAAUAAUUUUAAAAUAAUUUUAUUUUAUAUCUUUAUCUUUAAUGUUCUUGUAUUUUUAUUUUAUGUCUUUAUCUUUAAUGUUCUUGGAAACAUAUAAAUUUAUUUCAAAAUAAUUUUAAAAAUAAUAAUUUUAUAUUUAACUAAUAUCAACAAAGUUUAAUGAGUGCAAGGAGGAAGAACACAGGUCAGGACGAAAGAAGCUAAGUUAUGAUUUCUUUAGGGGUUCCAAUUGGGAAACUUCCGAAUCAUUGAAUGAACACAUUACUUGCUGGGAUGAGGACGCAGUUUCCAUGUCCCCUUUCUUUUUUUCUGAAAAUCCUGGCCUUUCAGGAUUAGCAAUAGCCAGGGAAUCAUCAUUUUUGAGCAUCGAGAAAGCUUCCAGCAUUGUUGGUAUAGCAUCUGGAUUUUCUUGGACACACAGCAGAGCAACUUGCAUGCAUGUCAGUAGUUUACAAGGUGAGGAUGAAUCAUCCAAAAAUGGAUCAAUGAAUUCCAUUCCUCGCCCGUUUUCCCACAGGUCAUAUGCCUGCAUGCAUCAAGUCCAUGCAUUUCAAGCUGCCAACUCUACGUACGUGAAAAGCUUCACUAGCAAAUCAAAUGGUGCAAAUAAUGAUAUGAAUUCAAGUAACUCACAUAUUCUAAAAGGUUCAAGUCUUCGUUUUCGCCGUAAAAACGUGUAUUCGUCUUUCCACUUAUCAUUUGAAGCAGUACAACUCCAAAGCUAUAAACAUCAUACUUUAUGGAAUAUAUGCCUCUCCUCGCAUAUUCAGGAGGAACAUAGCCGCUGCAAUAUUGGACAUGUUAAUGCUAAGUAUGUACAGCAAAUAAGAAGUUGAUGUCAAUGAGAUGGAGAGUAUCGUUAAUGAGAGGCAGCUACUUACUAAGUUCCAACAAUUCUGCUCGUGUUCGCUUCAUUCACAUCUUUCCUGAAAAGUUUAGCCAUGCCAAAAUCUGAUAUCUUUGGAUUCAUUUCAUCGUCUAGUAAAAUGUUGCUAGAUUUCAAAUCUCGAUGAAGUAUUGUAAAAUUUGAGUACUCUUGGAGGUAUAGAAGCCCUUGAGUAACCCCUUCAAUGAUACGAACCCGCUUACUCCAAUCCAAGCUAUACCUUCUAAUUGGAUCUGCAUAAAAUGGAACAGGAGAAACUUUUAGUUGCUACUUAUCUUAAGAAUGACAUUAAUUUGGCAUGUACUCGUAAAUUAGCAUCUUCUCUCCCCUCUCGGAGCAAAAUCCCAGAAGCCUAACUAGAUUUACAUGUUGAAGUCUAGCCGUCAGCGAAACCUCGUUCUUGAACUCUUCAAGUCCUUGAGUUGAUGAUGCUGACAGCCUCUUCACUGCUAUUUCCAGGCCUCUUGGUAAUUUACCCUGGUACAUUUUGACACUUGAUGUUAGCAUUAUUUCCUGUAAACAAACCUGAAAAUCUGAACAUGAAUCGUUCCAAACAUGAGACUUCCAGUCAGGAAUACAGAGGGUUAACUUAACCAUACAAUACCUUAUAAACAGGGCCAAACCCACCCUCUCCAAGCUGGUUUUCUCUUGAAAAGUCAUUUGUAGCUGCUUUAAUGCUUUCAAAACUGAACACUUGCGGGAUAGGAGCAUCACCAUCAAAAUUUUCUGCAGCGGCUGAUAAACUAGU
RNAcentral lists this long non-coding RNA (55816 nucleotides) under Populus tremula. Its description in RNAcentral is "long non-coding RNA (PTRE_LNC001484)". The record is from RNAcentral. Lineage: Eukaryota; Viridiplantae; Streptophyta; Magnoliopsida; Malpighiales; Salicaceae.